This 47607-nucleotide long non-coding RNA is filed under the name Brassica napus (rape). RNAcentral's name for it is "long non-coding RNA (BNAP_LNC010243)". The stretch from base 36459 to 36565 matches the Rfam family "Plant small nucleolar RNA R71". The record is from RNAcentral. Lineage: Eukaryota; Viridiplantae; Streptophyta; Magnoliopsida; Brassicales; Brassicaceae.
GCUGAUAUAUCCUAAAGUCCUAUAAAAUUCGCUAAACCAACACAACCCAAAAUAUGGUUCAGAAAAUUGUUCAACGUGUACUUAUUCAUGAAACUCAAAACAUAAAAAAGCUCAAAUGCAAAAUAACAGUGAGAAUGAUAAAACUUUUUCACGCCUGGUGUAGACCACCUAGUCUUUGUGGUCUUCUUAGACCUGCCGCCUUCCUCUUCAGCUAAUGCAUCUCAUAGCCUUAGUUUCUGCAAAUAAAAUUCAUUGGAAGAGAAAAUAAAAGCCUUUUUGCUUUCUUAUCAACUUGGAACUGGAACCAAAUCGCAUAAGAGCUGGUUUGGCAGGAGAGAGUUUUGUCUCCUGGACUCUUUUGCCAGGCUUCAAUUCUUCUAGAGGAUGAUAGUUUUGUGAGGCCAAUUGAUAAAUGAAAGGCUGAUUCAAAAGAAGGAAUCUUGCACCUGGAACUGAAUAGAGGACAGCCAAAUACAAACGUUUCCAUCAAGAAUUACUCCAAAAGCAAAACAAUGGUUAAAUAAUCAAGGAGGUGAUGAGAUUUGUCAUUGCAUAAACAGAGAAUCGAAUGCAUAGGUUUCAAUGUGCCACAUUCACUAAAAAUGGCUCACAACGCAUAACUUUUUAUUUGUGAAUCUAGUUUCCUGUUUUGAAAAUGUGAAAAGAUUAAGGUCGUACCUUUGAAUCAAUAAGAACCAUAUCAACGCCCAUCAGUUUGCCCCUUUUCUUCACAUUCCAGGCUUCCCAAAAUCGAAUGGUUUGUCUACCACUUUUUCUACACAGCUUGCAUCCUUCAAAUCUGCCAAAAUGGAUUCGACAAGUUGCCAUAAUGAAAAGGUUAGUUUCGAACAUAACAAAAACUCUGUAAUCGGAAAGGGAAAACUAUUAAGCUUACGCUUUCAAGAGGUACAUAUUUAUACUGAAUAGUCAAGCGAAGUCAGUACGUAGAUUGAAAGCUUCAUUGAAGGACACUUUUAUUGCUAAGCGUAACGUUGGCUGUGAAGGACGGCGUAGAUCGGCAAUCUCGAAGACGCACACGUAACCCUAAACGCAAGACGGGCCACAUAUACGAAAGCAUGGCCCAAGGCCAGAAAAAUGAUUUGGAGAUGUAGCAAAACGGCCGCGUUUCGAAACACAAAACAAAAAAUAUAAGAACCUAGAAGCGAGAUUUCAAAACAAAAGGAAAAGGAGAGGCCUUGCCUGGUCGACACGUGGCGGCAAAAGGAGCAUGGAAGUACGACGUGGUUUUAUGAGGAGCCUUUUUUUUUUUACAUUAUUAAUAUAGAUAUAUUAGGGUCGGUCUGCCCUACGGACGGGAUAUACUUUACAUGCUAGAUCUUGAUUAUUAUUUUUUAAUGAUUUGUAGUUUGUGUUUUGGUUUCAUUUGCAAGAGAUGUGUAUGAUAAUGUUUUUUGUCUUUUAGAAAGUUUUAGGUGAUAAAAGAUUAUAUGUGAUAAGAUAUAUUAUGCUCGUUAGAAAUAGUUUUAAAUGUUCUUUAUAUAUUUUGUUCUACAAUUUUAUUUUUCUUAAAAUGCUUGAUUCUGUUUAAUGUGUAAAUUUUUUUAUAUGAUUAUUUUAUCUAUUUAUUUUGUAUUUUUACUAUUAAUUUUUUUUUUGUUGUAAAAAGAUUUAGUUUUAGUCUUGUUGCAGUUAACUAAAUUUUUUUAAUGAUUUGAAUGAGAGUAUCUUCAGUUUUUAUUAUGGUGGUGUAUAUGUUUUUAUCAUUUUUUUCUUUUAAAUCAUAUAAGCUCACUUUUUAUUGAUCUAUAAUUCAUAUUAUGAUCUCCAUUUUAAUUGUUUGUGAUUGUCGUGUGAUGAUGUGUGAACUAUAUUAUUGUAGAUUUUUAUUGGAUGGGUUUUAUGUUAGAAUUUGUGGUGUUUAAUAAUGUUUAUUGUUAUUAAGAAUGGUUGUGUUUAUACUAAGUGUUUGUGUAUAAAAUAUUAUAUUAAGAGUUUGAUUUUCAUGAUAUUUAUUAUAUAGUUUUCUAAAUAAAGUAACUUCUCUUACACUGUUUAUUUAAAAACAACUUGUCUAUACUAUGUAUUAUAUUGUUAAAAAAAAGGUCAGGUUUUAACUGAUAUGAUUCACACUGUUUUUUUUUUAUUGACUGAAUGUCCUAAUAAAAAGGAUGCAUGACGUAUAUGUACAACUCUGUGCAGCCCAAUAAUUUCUUUAAGGUGUGUUAUUAUUUUAGCCUAUGUAUAUGACACUUAAUUUGUUAAUAAGUAUUAUAACCUAAUAGAAUAACAGAAACCAUGAGGGAUGAAUUUCAGAAAUCUGUUAAUGUUAUAUUCACCAUAAACCCUAUGAUUACAGGAGCCAUGAUUCGGCUAUGCUUGCAAAAAAGUGCGUUGUUGGAGCUCGGGCAAAUUCUAUUUGAUAUAUGCUAGGCGUCUUAUUAGCUGAAGGAUGGUUGCAUUAUUCAGUUGUAUUUCCCUGAUAUUAUAAUCUUAAAUGGCUGAAGUUGGUAGUUCAUGUUCAAGCUCUAAAGGAUGGGCUUGAUUUGCAAUAAUCUCCAUUUUCGUUUCUUAUGUGAAGAUAAUACAUUGGUCUUUCCUUAUGAUUUGAAAUAUAACACAUGCUUUAAACACUAUUUUAUUAUAAAACUCAAUAUUUGGAAAAAGUAUAAUAAAGUAGUUUGUUAUUGUUUGACUAACUGUAACACAUGCUUCCAGUUAUUGUUUGACUAACUGUAACCACUUUUUUGUGUGACAGCUAUAAUUAGAAAAAAAAAAGUGAAUUCUCAGAAUAAACUCUUAGUUUCUGCAAAUAAAAUUCAUUGGAAGAGAAAAUAAAAGCCUUUUUGCUUUCUUAUCAACUUGGAACUGGAACCAAACCGCAUAAGAGCUGGUUUGAGGGUCUGACUAAGAGCAAUAGGGAGGAGUUGGUCUCCCAGCUGGUUCGUAGCAAAUGUUUUCCACCAAAAUACUUCAGAAACUCUUGAACUACAAUAAUUUUCCACACUAUUUAUCUCCAAAAUAAGCCUACUCAAAUCUACAUCCGCAAAGUCUAGUAUUUAAAGACAUAAAUUUUGGUAGUUAAGAAACAAAUACCCGCCAUAGUUAGUUUACUCGGUUGUAGCGAGUUCUUAUCAAUAUGUGCCAAUGCUAAUAUCCUCAAAAUUCCAAUCAAAGCUUUCAAAGUAUUUACCCACCAGAUAUGAGUCGUUUGAGUGGUAAAGAUACUAAUUAAAUAUGGUAGAGAAAAUGGGUGAAGAAGCCUACCGAGACAGAGAAACAGACCAUCAAAGAAGCAUUAUUGUUAUAGUUUUUGAAGCAUCAGAUUAAUUCAUUAGAGCUUCGAGAAGCAUCGUCUGCGAGGGAAAAAUAUGACCUUACAUAGUUACAUUUUAUAAUUAACUUAGAUGUGUUUUCUUAUGGGCUUCCGACUUGUAAACUAAAUCCUAUAUCUGCAAUAAAUCAUAAAUGGAACACAAACAUAAGCAAAAGAAUUUGUUACCUAGCUGGUUUAUUCAAAGAUAGUCGCACAUUUGGUUUGUUUUUGCGUAAUCACUACUCUUGAUAAUGCAAAAUAUAAUUGACCAGGUGUGAAUACAAAUAGAUGUAGCAGAUUUCCUUCUUUUUAUGCAUAUUUUUCAACGUCACCUAAAAUGCUUUUGUUCCUAUACAACUUUUAAUCUAUCUAUUAUUGAUUUAGCCAGUCACUCAUCAUGUACGUUAUAUUUUUCGUAAACAUUCAUCAACAUAUCCAUGUUAUGUGUUUGUGUAAUUCGUCUUCCCUACUACCUCUUUUUCAACAAAUCAAAAGAGCACAUAGAAACACAUUUGUAACUAAAAUAAUGAAAAAACAAAUAACUUGUGUUUGACAAAAGAAAGAAGCUAUACUCUCGUAUCUGUGAAACUUAUGAAAUCCAGUAAGAUAGAAUCUCAUCUUCCAUUUUACAGCUUUCAUUUAAAAUACCAAAUGUUCCUAACAUCAGUGUAUGAAUUAUUCCUACAAAAGAAACAAAUAUUUUAAUCUGCGAUCUUUUUAUUGGAGGGACUAAAAGACUAACAUCAAUUCUGAAAUUUGAAUAAGCAUAUCUCACCAUCACAUGUACUGAGGUUACAAACAGGGCUACGAAGAGUAGUCUAUCUGGAAAUAAGAAAAGCCAUCUUACAUCUUUUCUUGAAGAGGAAAAGAUCCAGAAUUAAAGAAAUUUUUUAACUUACUUGUUUUCCAAGUACCACUUUUUGCACUUCAAAAAUGGACCACUGAUAUGCAGAAAAGGCAUACCCAUUAAAGUGACCAUAGAUGUAGCUUUUACUAUGAGGUUCAAAGAAUUUAUGUUACCUUGUAUAGUUGAAGUGGCAAGUUAGAUACGAAAUCUUGUGAUCUUAAAAUACAAUGAUAACAGAAUAAUUUGACCGCUUGCAGCACUAAAAGCUCUUCUAAUUAUCUACAUACAUAAAAUCAUGCUGGCUUUUAGAUUUGUUUUUUGGAUCAACAGUUAAUGGCAAUAUAAAAAUAGUAAACAGAAGCACACGUUGUCCGAUGAAAUGUGAAGCUCAGGUUGUGCGUAAAACUUAAGCAGUUGUUUUUGUUGGCCUGAAUUGCUGAAGGAAAAAUAAAGAUUAUUAGCAAAGUUUGAUCUGAAAAUCGAGUAAGUCAUCAAGAAAAGACAUUGAUGUACCUUACCAGGUAGUCCAGCUAAAGAGGUAAUGUCAAGGAAAGCAAACACGAUGGUAGCAAUAAGAGAAGGUAAAGAGGUGAAGCCACCCGAACACUGUUUUUGCUGUAAAUCAAAGGUUGAAUUUGAUGGUUGUUGCCUUAAUAUCUGGUGUCGACGUCGCCAAUACUUGUCGGUUUUCUCCUCUUCCGACGGAAUGCAAUGUCUCUCCCAGCAUUAAUUGUUACUAAUGUACCAUCGGUAUUUUUCAUUAAAAAAUUACCAACAAAAUCUUCUGUUGGAGAUCGCUCAAAAAGAUGAUUGAUUCACUCAAACUUCUAAAAUCCCAGAAGUAAAUUAACCUCAUAUUGAGACAUGACGUCUAGCGUAUUGCUUCUGGAUCUGGGAAGUCAUCAAUUUUUCUGUGCUCAGUAAGCAGUAGCUGAAUGGCGGAGAAGAAAGAGUGGGUUGAACCUUAGAAAUCACAUACCAAAAGACCCAAUCGAGCAUUAGCCAUUUUUUUUCAGAAAAUAAGGAGAUUGCUUUGGUUAUAAUAGAUUGAUAGGAUGCUACAGAUUGUAGGGAUGCUAACCUUUUUUAUAGUCGAACCACCACUGCCUUUGAAGAGCUAAAGUAGCAUUGAAGAGAGAUCCUGUAGAUUGAUUUAAAGAGAGAAUUUAAUAGCAAUGAUUUCGUAACCGAUUGAUUACUUGAUCAGUAGGAAGAAGAUGAAUAGUUUGCUGGAAACUCUAGAUUUGCUCCUGUUGAUUGAUGGAUCAGGAGGAAGAAGGAUCAGUUUCCAUGGAAACACAAAACGCUCCUACGGCUGAGAAGGAGAACAAUGGAAGACAUAAUUAAAGCUUGUGGUCGAUGGGCCACAGAUGAAGCGCACCACCAAGCCCAACACCAAGCCCAAAACAAUAUGAAAACACUCUAAUGAAACGCAGCACAGAGGACAACUGUUGCGCACAGGAGAGCUCAAUUUAUGACGUGGCGUCCUUGUUGGCAUAGGUGAGAGAGAAGCUAAACCUAUUAUAUAUAUAAAGAUAUAUAUAUACUAGUAUGUUUCUAUGUGCUCUACGCACGAGAAUUCUUAUUGUUUUUUUAAGUAAAAAUGUUAUUUGUUCUUUACCCUUCAAAACUUUUUUUCAAGUUUAACUUAAUGGUAUUGUGGUCCCAAAAUUAAUAUUUAUUUACAUAACAGAACUAAUAUUAGUAUAUUUAUUAGUAAAAUAUAUAUUUCAUAAUUUAUAGAAUAUAUUUGGUUGACCAAAAUAUGAGUAGUAUACUAAUACUUUUACAGAUGUAAAUAUAUUUAAAUAAAUAAAUAAAUAUUUUAUUUUACUUUAAUUUUGAUUUACCAAAUUCAUGAUGGCCUCAAGCAUUUCCAGUCAUGCUUAUAAAUGUAAGCCCAUGAUAUAUACAUAUAUAUAUAUAUAUAUAUAUAUUCAUAUAUAUAUUAUAUAUAUUCAACGUAAGCUCAUGAUACCGUUCCAAAUUUAGUCAUUUAGGGUUGUACAAAUUGUUUAAGAAUUUGUUGAGCAUAAAAUUUUUUCGACAUUAAUUCAAAUUUAAAGAGAAAAAAUUAUUAGUUAAAGUUAUGUUAUACUCCCUUGAAUGGUUAAAAAGUUGUAUCUUACCUAGUUAACAAAACUGAGCAUCACAUGAAUCGAGAUUCUGAGUAUAGUCUUCAACCGUCGUUGAGAACAUAACUUGUUUUUCCCUAUUUACGCAUAGUAUAUUUUUGUAAGUUUGAAAUCUAUUCUUUAAGCCAAAAAAAAAAGUUUGAAGUAUCUUCUUCUCUUCAAAUAUAUUUUUUGUUCAACCUCUUUUAAUUUUUCUGUGAUGGCCAUACCUUUUCAUCUCGUUCUUCUUCGGUUUCAAUCUGGAGGAGCUAAAUUGGUGUUCCCAACUUCUUGACCAUGAUUUCAGUCGUGAGCAGCUUUGGUUCGAGGAAGAAGCUCGUCCCGUGAAGAUGUUGUAACAGUGAUUCCUAUGCAAAGAAAAUAAAAACUAAAAGGAAUUCAAAACUGCACAACUGAAAAAUAAUUAAAUGUUUAUAAUUAAACUUUAUCACUUAUUCAUUUGCUAAACGAUCAUAAUAUGAAGCCGCUUGCACCACCAACCAAUGUCAGGGAAUUUUUGAAAGCCAUCUAUAAGUCCCUUAGUCUUUUCCAAAAUCAUCUAUAUGUCCCUUAGUCUUUUCCAAAAUCAUUUUGCACACAAUAUCGAUCUUACUUCAACUUCUAAAAGUUUACAACCACCAUAGAUCGAAGAUUUGUCUUUUGUAAGAGAAAAUAAGACUUGAGAUAAGAAAAAAAAAAGAAGAUUUACACCCAAAGAAAAAAAGAGAUAUGAUGUUAUCGAUACUAAAAUCGGUUUGUAGAAGAGACAAAAUCAUCAAUUACUAUGUGCAAGAACUUUAACUGUUUAAAUAAUUUUAUAAAUGUAUCUGUUGUAGAAGUGAUUCUAACGUUCAUUUAUUUGAGAUGAUGUAGGAAGAGGUGGAGAUCAUGGAUGUUACGGUCGAGGCGGUUAAAACAAUUUUUCUCUUUCUUUUUUUCAUUUUGCAGAGAAGAAAUAAACUGUUUUGCUUUAGUUAUUUUUAUUUUCUAAUAAUUUUUAAACAUGCCACAUGUCAAAAUAUUAUUGGUAUAGUGACUUGCGCUUUAGUAUAUAAACUAGUGUUUGGGUCUGUACUACAUACAUGCAAAAAAAAAUUUGAAUUCGUUAUAGCCAUAAUAUAGCUAAAAUUUUAUAACACCUUCUAGCCAUAAUAAGCUAAAAUCUCUAUGUUUACAAUAUAACUUUAAUCUUGUCCAUACAACACCAUCGAUAUGCCAUAUUCACCUUUCUUAUGGCAGGCUGAGCUAGUCAUUGUUUCUCCCUAUAUCCAAAACAAAUCAAGCUAUAUUCACCUUUCUUAUGGCAAGAUAAGCUAGUCAUUGUUUCGCCCUAUAUCCAUAACAAACAAAAAAAUCACAAAAGAAAACAUUUCUUCAGAAAAAAACUUUAAAACUUUCCAUUUAACUUAGAGAAAACUGGCAAAAUAUUUGCUUUAGUAUUUUCAUAAUUUGAGUUUAAAAUUUAUAUGUGCAACCGCUGCCUUGAUCUAGCUUCCUCCUCCUAUAAAUAAUCUGCAAAAAAAAAACUUCAAGUUGAACAAUACAAAAAAAUGAAUAAGAGAGUAUUACUUUGAGAAGCAGAGAAAAAUAGGUUUGAAAAAAAAUUUAUAACUAUAAAGCAAUAUCAAUUACACUCAAAACUCAAAAAUGAUAAAAAAGAUGAAACGAUUGAGAAAGAGAGAGCAAAUAAAUCUCAAAGAAAUGAUAAAAAGAAACAAAACGAUUGAGAAAAAGAGAGCAAAUAAAGAAGAAAUAUUUAUCUAAAAAUUAUAUUGAAGAGACAGUUUGAAUUUGUGCCAUAAAAGUAAAAAUCGUGGAGUUCUUUGUGGUAAGAGGCAGUUAUUUUUUUUAUAAUUGAUUAACUUUGUAAUUGGCUCAGACUUUUAACCAUUAUGUCAACAGUUAAUUAAUUUUGUUUUUUUUUAAACAUUUUCCACAUGUCAGUAUUUGAUUCUUCAAGCGACUUGCGCUUUAGUAUAGUAUAUAAAGGAUGAUAGAUUAUUAUUAGAUGGAUAUAUAGAUAGGUUACGUCUCCUAAAUAUGCUAAAGAAUAUAUUCAACCAAAUAAUUUUAAUCGAUCUACAUUUAUGUUUUUCUUCAUGAAUUCAAAUAUUUUAACAAUAAAAUCAAGAUUUCAUGCCUAAUACCAUAAUCAGUUAUAGAAAUUUCUUCAGCAUUUAUUUUAAUAUUUUUUUAACUAAACAUUUAUGGAGAGUUUUGUUCCCAUAAUUUUAAGUUUCUUUAUGAUUUUGUAAAUAUCCAAACUUUUUCUACAAGUUAUUUUUCUUAUAAUAAAGCCAUCAACUCCUUAUUCUAUAAUUACAAUAAAAUCCAUAUCUACCCAGGUCUUAAUAUCGAGAUCAUUAUGUCGAAAAGAAAUCCCGAAAUCAUGAUGGCACCUACCAUGAUUUUUUUCUUCCAACUUUUUGUCAAAAAUAUUUUUAAUUUUUCCGAUAAUUGUAAACAAUUAAACAAAAAACUGUUUAAUGUAUUUUCAAUAAAAAAAAUAGUUUCGGAAUUUUGAAAAAAAUAUUAAAUUAGGUCUAAGCGGAUCUAAAAAGGCCAAUAUAAUUAUCGUGGUCUAAAUAGACAACCUUAUUAGAUCUUAAAAUUUAAUAGUUCUUUGCGGUUGAAAUUUUAAAUGGGACAUGUUUAAACAUAGAGGAUUUACUUAUUUUAGCAUAUCUAACCAAAAAUAUCAACUAGGAUUAAGCGGAUCUAAAAAAGAUUAAUAUAAUUAUCGUGGUCUAAAUAGACAACCUUAUUAGAUCUUAAAAUUUUAUAGCUCUUAGCGGUUCAAGAUUUAAAUGGAACAUGUUUAAACAGAGCGAAUUUACUUAUUUUAGCAUCUCUAACCAAGCAUUUGAUACGUUUAUAUUGCAUUUUCAUAACAUAAGUCAUCUCGCGCUUUUAAAGCGCAUGUCAAAAUCUAGUCUAUUCUAUUAUAACUGAAGUAUAAAACAAUACUUACCUAUUUUAAGUGAUUUCAUACAUUUUUAUUGAUUUUUUAACUAAUUUUAACCACUUCAUUUAUUGGAUUUUCAAAAUAAUUCGACAUCAUUUAUUACAAAAAUACAAAACAGAACUUAUCUAUUCUAAAUGUUUUAUUACAGCUUUUACAUUCUUUUUCACUUUUUCUAACUAUUUCAUUAGUUUCACUUAUGAUAAUGAUCCAACAUCAUUUAUUUGUUGUUACCCACAAUAAGUUCACAAAUUUGAAUCAAAUUGCUUUAUUCGUGACAAGAACUCAAGCCGGUUAGCAAAUAAUUUUUAUUUUGUUUACAUAAUCAUUAGACGAGGGCACCCAUGUAUCCGCUCGGGUACAGAUCAAGUUUUUUGAGUAUCUCUUUUUUUAGUUUUAAAUUAAACUCUGUCUAAAUAUUGUAAAUUUUUUAACCUAAAAAAAUAUCCAAAUAACUUGUAUGGUUAUUAAUAUCAUUAAACAAUUUAUAAAAAAGACUAAAAAUUAACAUCCGGUCAAGAUGUAGUUUAAUUGUUACAUAGUUAGUUCAUUAGCUUCAAUCAAUAACAUGAAUGCGUAAAUGUAAGCCUAUGAGAUACCAAAUACAGCAAAAAGCAAGACAAAAUAAUGUUUCUAUAUCAAAAGAUACACAUAAUUGUGAUAUCGUGGCACAAGGAAUGAUAACUUUUGGUUAUCGUGAGCUCGUAGUCAAAUACUCAAAUAGGUAUCAAACAUUUAAUAUAAGGGAAUCUCAACUAUACAAACGUUAAAAAAAAAAAACCUUUUUCGUCUUUCCCCCGAGGUACUAUGGCACACACCUGUAUCUUGCAAAAAACCUCCGACGAAUAACCACCACACACACAUACGUGUUUUAACUCGCACUCCAAAAAGCUUCACUUUCGCAAUAGGAAAACAAAAUUUCAUAUCAUAUUGUGAGCCCUACUUCCACUUCCUCCGCCGUAUGACGCCGCUCCAAUGGUGGUCAAACAAUGCUCAACAGAAUCAUUUUUCAUCACAUGUCUAUUAGAAAACUUGUCGACGAUUCUCUUUGUUGGUCUCGCUACAAGAUUCUCCCAAGCCUCGUCUGCUUCUUCUUCAUUAUGUUUCAAGAACACUUCCGUGGCGUCCACAUGGUGCAUACACGACUUCCACUUCUUGCUCAGGCGUUGAAUCUUUUGUAACUGUCGACAAGCUAAUAUCUCUGUGUUCUGUUUGAUCUUUUUAACCGCUACGUCAAGCAUCUUUCUUUGUGUGGCACGGUCCACUAGAGAUUCGUACCGUAAGUACUCGUGGAGCUCGGGGACUCCGAUAGCUCGUCGUAUCCCGACAGAAUAAUCCGCUUUGGGAUCAUAUACUUGUCUUACUUCAUCUAGUAAUCCUGCUUCCAUCAUACGAUCGACACGUUUUGAGACGAAAGAGUUAAGAACUGGUAAGGAAACGUCGACCCAAAUGAAACAACAUUCGUAGUUGUUUAACAAUGGUCCAGACGAAUGGUUCGCAAGUGCUUCGAUGUAUGAGUUUGAUCCACCGGCUACUAUAGGAAGCUUGUUGUUAGCUGAGAGUGUUGAGAUCUCUUGUGACGCAAGGAGAGCGAAGUCGGUGGCCGUUAGGUUUCCAUCUUCCGAGUCAAAUACCCCGAGCAAGUGGUGAGGCACGCCUCGACAUUCUUGAGGUGUCACUUUAUUUGUAAGGACGUCGAGGCCCUUGUAAACUUGGAUCUUGUCGGAGUUUAUGAUAUCUGUUUGAAACCGUGUUGCUAGGUCGAUGGCGAGACGAGACUUGCCGGAUCCAGUGGCUCCCAUUACGAAGACGACUUUUUCGUGAGGAUGGAGGAAAGAGUUGACGUUGACAAUGGAUGGUUUGUUUUUGAAGCUCAAGAUUGGUUGUACCUGCUUCGGUGCUGAGAUUGAGAAUUUCAUGAUGAAUUGACUUUUUGCUGGGCGAAAAAGAUAUAUUUUUUGUUGGUUUGUCCUUUUGUAAGACCGCCUCAACUUAAAAUCUAGAAUUCCUAAAAUUUAUGAUUCGAAAGAUCAGAGCCUUGAGAGAAUGUGUGAGAGAAAAUUGUGAAGUGUAGAAAAUGAUUUACAUGUUUUUAAGUUUUGAGGUACAAGGAGACUUAUAUAUACCCUUACGACCUUUUAAAAAUAGAUUUAAAGGCCCCAUCUAUAAAAAAAUCGGCCUAAUAAUUUUUAUUUUUUUAUAGAAAUCUGAUGGUAAUUUCACAAAAACUAAACAAAAAUACCAGAAGGCCAAACAAAACAUCGAUUAUUUCGUGUAUAGAAACUAUUUACCAUAAAAUAAAUGCAUUUUAAGUAUAAGAUUAAAAAUAACAUCAAUAUAUUUAGAAAUCUUAAAAAAUAAAGAUAGAUUUCACUGUAAAUAAAAAUAAACUAUAAAUAAAUUAUUUUUAUUUAUAUACAAUUUAUAUAAAUUAAUCAUUUAUUGAUAUUAAAAACAUAUUAUUACAUAAAUUUUUAUCUUAUUAUCUCAUAGAGAUUGUGUCAUAUUUUACAGUGGUCUAACUCACGACCUAAGAAAUUUAUUAAUUUAUCAUUUAUAUUUAUUUAAAGUGUAUUCAUUUAUUGAGUUUCUACUAUAUUUACAACAUAUAGGUUUGGAUAUAUACCAUUAAUCCCAUUCUCAUGUAAGUUAGUGCUAGUAUCUAAUAUUUUUAAAAUGAAAUUUAUAUUUUCAAAUGUAAUAAUUUUUUUAAUCAUAUCAAGAACUUAUAAAAUAUCAAAACAUGGUUACAUAAUCAUUACAGAAAAUACUAAUUAUUCUUGUACACAAAUCAUUACACAUUAACUUGAAUAAGAAAAUAAUUAAUGUACAUUUUGUUUCUUUUUUUCGUCCGGUCUAGUCUUGAACAUUUUGCAUAUGUUCCCUCUAUGAAUGCGGUUUGUGUUCUAUUCAGACAAUACACAGACCACACAUAGAACUAGAAGUAAGAUUGAAAUAUAUAUUGAUAUAUCCAUUAGUACACAUAUUCAGGCGAAUGUAUGUCACCAUGUUUCUUUCUCUUCUCUUUUUUUUUUCUUUCUGGGGACUGGGGGCAUAUAUAAACUUAAAUGAGAGAUAUUAGAGAAAAAAUUAAAUUUGUUUUUGUUAUUAUUAUAAACACACAAGAAAGACGGUGUUAUUUAUCUUCCGCCAUAAUUUGGAGGCUUACGUCAUAUCGGACGCAAAGCUGUUUCCAAGCUACAGUGGGACACCACAGAAAUUCAAACAACCAUUCUUUAAUUAUAGUAUAGUCCCCCACAUAUUCUAUUAUCAAUUAUACACACGAGCGGGAAAAUUAAAUAACACUGUCCACCUCACUUUUGUGGCCUGUAUGUACAAGGUUGGUCUUUUUUUUUUUUUACGACGGACGGAAUUCUAUUACUCAAACUUUUGAGGUGGUCUAAAUAACCAGACCGGAAUAGAAUAAUCAAUAAAAUAACUCUUUUUGGAAAAACCUCAUAGUCCUAGCUAAAGAGUCAGAAAUAUGAUUUUGAGCUCGUCGAAUAUGAGUAAUCUUGAAAUUCGGAAAACAUACAUGCAAGAUCUUUAUCCUCUCCUAUUCAGUUGCAAAGCUUUGGCUAAACAUGGGGUUCCUUAAUCAUGGCAAUCAGAUCCAUACAAUCCGUUCCAAAGCUCUGGCAUGUCGAAUGUUGAAGCAUGUUCUCCAUCAUCCAUCGCAGUGCUUCUACUUCUGAAUGCAAUGCAAACUCUCAUCGAAUGUAAUUUCGUAUCCCCAUAAAUUGAACCUUUCUAAAACUGUCCAUCCAAACACAUCCACACCCACUAAACUGUGAUGUGGAUGUCCAUGACUAGGGGUGGCCAUUCGGGUUCGGGUCGGAUAUUUCAGAUUUUCGGGUAUUUCGGUAUAGAGGUGUAGAACCCAUUCGAGCAUUUCUGUACUUCGGGUCUGAUUCGGGUAUAUUUAGUUCGGAUUUGGUUAUUUCGGAUCAGGUUCGGAUAUUUAGAAUUAAAAUUAAAAUUUCAUUUUUCAAGUUUCUUGUAUUUAAAAAUAUAACUUUCACUUAACUGAUUUUUUAUUUUUAACAGAUUGAAUGAUUAAUAAAUUUGGACAUAACAUUUUAAAACUAAAAAGACACUAAUUUGGUUAUUGUUUUUAAAUUUCAGAUGUAAUUUUUGUUAAUUCGUGAAACAAAAAACUUGACAUGCAUUUUAAGUGAGUAUAAAUUAUUCCCUCCAUAAUUAUAUGUAUAUUAAAUGAAUUUAAAGUAUGUGUAGUAUCAAUAUAAAUAUUUUAAAUAAAAUGAGAGAUAUAAACUAGAAAUAUAAUGUUAGUAAUACGUAUAUUCGGUUAUCUUCAGAUAUCCAUUCGGGUUUGGAUAUUACCCGUUCGGAUUGGGAUAUCCAAUCUCCUAAUUCAAUACCUGUUCGGGUAUUUAGCUACUUCGGUUCGGAUUUCGGUUCGGUUUUUUGGAUCGGGUUCAGAUACGGGUUCAGGUAUCAGGUAAAAUGCCCACCCUAUACCCAUCUAACAUGAAAAUAUUACCCAAGCUUAAGACUUGUGGUUCCUCAAUACUGUGAUCUUGUAGAACUGUUGGAACCAUCUCAUUUGCAUUGAACCAGGCUUGACACUCACUCUCUGCAUAGUGAACUAACUCUAAUGGAUCCUUUUCUAUCCCCCUAAAGAAUUUGUCAUUUUGGGCCUUCCAAAUAUACCAGAUGAUACAAGGAUAAGGAUCCCUGUCUAAAUUAAAUCUAGCUUGACAAUGAUUUUCUCUCUCUAGAAGAGAUAAUUCAUAUUAGCGUAAAUACUCGGUAGCCGAAAGAUAUCUGGAAUUGUUGGUGUCGCUGAUAGGGACCAAGCUUGUAAAGCUGGUGGGCACUCGAAUAUGGCAUGAGUGACAGAUUAUUCUAGUUCUCUACACUGUGGACAGUAUUUAUCGCAUUUCAUAUUACGCCGUAUUAAAUUUCUCGUUACUGCCACAUGACUUGUUAUCAAUUGCCGUAUAAGAUGACAUAUUUUUUGAGGCGCUUUUAUCAUCCAAGCAAAGGCUUGGAGCUUAGUUAUACUUGGCUCCAACACAUCUUUUUCUUCCUCAGCUUUUAACAAGUUUCAAGCUACCCAAUAUCCAGAUUUAACCGUGUAUUGGCCAUUCGUAAUGUAUUUUCAACAGAAUGUAUCACGGCGAUGAGUUGAGCUUAUGGCCAAACUCCUUAUGAAAGAUAUAUCAGCAUGGCUAACAUAAUCCUCUAGUAAUCCAACAUUCCAUUCCUUUGAUUCCUGAUUAAUAAGGUCGUUGACUCUCAUGUACAGGUGCAAAACUGGGGCUGAAGGGUGAUCCAGCCUAGUUGGUGUUGUAGGGAUCCAAGGAUCCUCCCACACCUUGACCUCAUAUCCAGAAUGUAUCUUAUUUCUGAUUCCCAAUAGCAGAAGCUUUCGUGCCACUGUAAUACUGCUCCACACAUAGGAUGGGCUUCUUACAGAGCUUACUCGUAAAUGCGAACUCAAUCUGUAGUAUCUUCCCCUCAAAACUCGAGCCACUAACGAAUCAGGAUAUUGAACUAGCCUCCAUAAUUGUUUUGCUAGUAAAGCCAAGUUGAACUCAUGGAUCAUAUAGAAACAAAUUCCUCCCUCCUUCCUUGGUAAGCAGAGCUUCUCCCAUUUUUCCCUAUGAAUUCCUCUCUUUGGGGGAUUUGAGCUCCAUCAAAAUUGUGCAAUGUCACUUAUGAGGUCCUAACAUAUCUCCAGCGGAAAAGAUUAUUUCCUCCUUUUGAAAGACAUCUAUCUGUCCAUUCAUUCACUCUACAUUAAUUUGUCCUUGAGAAAUGAGAAGAGUUUGCAUUUGGAUCCACUAAUAUCUUUCGGAAUUCCUAAGUAUGUCCCUAUUCCUCCUUCAUUCUUGAUUCCAAGUGUGUCUGACAUUUGCGUUGAUCCUCUUACCAAAGAGUAGAGGGGAUUUGUCAAAGUUAAUACAUUGGCCUGAUGCUUGUCCAUAUUUCUUGACUACUUUCAUCAAUUCUUCACAUUCACAUAGCUCUGCCUUACAGAAGAAAAGGCUAUCAUCAGCAAAGAGAAAGUGAGAUACCGAGGGACACGCUGUGUAACACGCAUCCCCGUUAUCUUCCCUUAGUUCUCUGCAUGAUUAAAAAAGCUAACGAGCGCUUCCGUGCAUAGAAUAAAGAUGAAAGGAGACAAAGGAUCUCCUUGACGUAGACCUCUUUCCGAAACAAUAUUUCCUCUUGGUUGCCUAGGUAAUCCAAAUUUCUGAACAGUACCAUCUUUCGCAUAAUUGCUUCAAUGGACGACCAUUCCAUCCUGUUAUACGCUUUACUCAUAUAUGUCUUAAUGGCCAUCUUUUUAUUGCGUCUGCUUGGUUUAGUUCUCAGAGCAUGAAACAUUUCUUGGACAAUCAUAAUAUUGUAUGAAAUCUAUCUUCUAGCAACAAAGGCUGACUGGAUUUCUGAAAUUCUGUCUAGUAGAACUUUCUUUAAUCUCUAGCCUAAGACCUUAAAGAUUAUCUUGUAGCUAACAUUGCACAAGCUAAUGGGCCGGAACUGAGACAUCUCAUUAGGUUUAUUUGUCUUUGGGAUGAGACAUAUAUUUGUAUCAUUUAGCCCACUGGCAAUCGUCCAUUCAAAAAGAAAUUGAUUAACCAUGUGAAUUAAAUUUUCCUUUACAAUAUCUCAUAAUUUCUGAUAAAAAGAACUGUCAUCCCAUACAGACUUGGAGGUCUUCUCUGGAAAUAUAGCAAAUAGUGCUAAUUUAACUUUCCAUAAUGAUUGGAACAGUAAGAUUGUCAUUAAUUGAUUUUGUAAUCGUCGUGGAUACUUCAGAUAACGCUUCCUCUAUAUUUUUUUAGGUUAGAGGACUCAAAGGUUGGUCUUUAUAGACAUUUUCUCGAAGAUGUUAAUAAUAUGGUGUGUUUAUUAAUUUUGACGUAUAUUAACUUUCAUAAUUUUGGCAAAUUAAAAUUAUGUUUCAUCCCGUUACGAGGCCAAUCGGAAUAACAAGUGAAAACUAGUUAUGUCCAUAUCCAUUUUUAGGAAAUAUUUGAUUACUGGAAAAAAAUAUUUAUGACAACUAUUUUCAUUUGAGAAAUAUUAAACCUGUUAAAAUACUUUCCUGUAACUUAUAGAUUUAUUAUAGGUUAAUUUUUUUAUUUAAUUAUGUUUUUAAUUAUAUUAAAAUAGUAAUAUUAUAUUUUAUAAGAUACUUUAGUAAAUAUUUGUAAUGAAAUUCAGUUCAAAAUCUAAAUAAAAUUCUUACUUAAAAUUAUUCAAACAUUAUAUAGGAUAAAACCUAAAUAGUUUGAGUUGACGUAGAUCACAAUUGGAAAACAAUUAUACGUAAACAUGUUUAAACGCUUUGGAAUUUUUAAUUUUAACAUUGCAUAUCUAUUUCAAAAACUUAAAAAAUAUUGCUACAUAAAUUUAUCUAUUUUUUUUUAUUUUAUGAAAUAAAUUAUUGUUUCUGGUAGAUUGAAAACGAAAAAUAUUGAAAAUAAAAACAAAAAAAAUCAUUUUUUAAUUUGUGGAUAGAAAAAGAAAAAGUAUAAAUAUAUACAAAUUAUCAUAGCCAAAAAAUUAGGGUUACUUUGUUAAUUUGAUUUAAUUUUAGUUAUUCCUCCUAAUAUCCCAGUAAAUUUGGUGCAUGGGAAUAGGUUUUCUAUUGUUUUCUGCCAUGAGCAGUUUCUGUGAGGCAUUUAAACUGUUUAUGACCAAGAAAAAAAUUAAAUUCUAAAACAUCUACCGGUUUGAGAUGCAGGGAAUACAACCUACUCUUCUUUUUAAUCCAUGGUUAGUCAAAUCAGAGGGAGAGUUUGUGGUUUAAAUACUUCUAUUAUGAUCCCUAAGCUUAAUACUUUACUAUUAAUUUAUUCUCAUUUUGUUAUUUGGUUCUAUCCCUAUAAUGAAACAACAUUGCCUACAAUUUAGCUGAAAUUGAUUAUGGAAAUUAGUUGUAUCUAGUGGAAAAAGAGAAUUUAAUCUUCCAUUUAGUGGGUUCUAAUGCUUAACUAUGUUCUCUCCGUUUCAUUUUAAUUGUCAUUUUAGAUUCAGGCACACAAGUUAAAAAAAAUUAAUUUUAUAGAUUUAUUAAAUAAAAAUAUUAUUAUCAAUACCUAACUAUAUUUCAAUCAAUAGAAAAAUAGAUUAAAUAUAAAAUUAAUAAAUUAUGAAUUAAAAUUAUAAACAAUAUUUAUUUUGAUAUGAAAAAUUUUAUUUUGCAACAACUAAAUUGGAACGAAAGGAGUAAGUUAUUUUGUGUGUUCUUUUUCUACCUAACUAAAAGAUUUUUUAUUCAUAACAUAUUAAAUGAAAGCUUUUACAUGGAAGUAGUAUACAUUCUAGUUAAAGACAUAAACAAGACCCCAAUCGCAUAAAUAAAUCACAAUCACAUCAUAAUUUCAAUUAGGGAUAUUUUAAGAAAAGUCUGAAUAUAACCAGUAUUUUACAUUGGAGAAGCCACAACUUAGCCUGAAAUAAAGCAUAUAACGAUGUUAGUGAGUAGUGACCACCUAAAUGGAAAGAAAGUGAUAAGAUGAUAAUUAGUCAAACCACCAGUUAAAAGAUAAGUUAUCGUUAAUGAUGUUAACUGAAUUUAACGUCAAUUAUCACUAGGAUUUAUAAUAGCGGAAUAAUUGUUUUUUUUUUGUUCAUCUAUUAACAAUUUGGAAUAUUUGAUUUUUUUUGUUCAUCUAUUAGGAUUUUGUAAACCAAAUUAGAGACUCUAUAUCUCCAUGAAUCGGUUAUCUCUAAACACUGUAUACAAAAAAAAAUUCUUGUAUAUUAUCUGCCGUAUAUGUAUAAUCGCAAAAAUACUGAAUCUUUUUUACAUCUUCGAAUCUCUUCGAAAUAUGUUGCAAAACAGAUCUUCGAUUAAUUAUUGACAAAAUAAGCCCUUUUUCAAAAAGAAAUUUUUCAAAAAGAAAAAAAAAAUUAUUAACAAAAUAAUUGAAUAUGAUUAAGUUUUUGUAGAAUAAUGAUAACAGACUCUAAUUUUGCAAUUAAUCAGUUUUUUAAUUAUAUUUAAUAUCAUCAACUGUAUAUAGCAAAUCACUUUAAGCGAUGUUUUAAGACAGCAUUAAUGAAGUUACCAUUUUUAAUGCAUAUAAACGUUGUUGUUUGACUCCUGAUAACAUUAUUAUACUCGUUUUAAAGUGGCAAACUGGCAAUAUUCACUAACUCAUCAUCUCGAAUAAUUGGACACUGUUGUUUUUAACAAACUGGAACAUUGGUGUUCAAAAAAAAAAAAAAGUCUCUAUCUCACAACUCUCAACUCCGUUUCUGUUAGCGUUUAAUCUACACGCCGCCUCACUCUACCUCUCUACUUUGAUCAUUAAUACAAACCUUAACAUACAAAAUGUUUUAUUGAUUAUAGUUUAAAAACAUUGUUUAAGCUGUACAGAUUCACUAAAUAAGUUUGAUCGCCUAAACCUUCUCACAUGCACUACUAUUGUUUCAGAAAUCAGAAAUUUCACUAGUAGUCUUAUUUAUUUCUGGAAUCUACGAUCUAUAGGCAUCAGCGGUGUCACUAUAACGCUUUACAUUCAAAACGUACUCUGCUAGUCUGCUUCCUUCUAACAUGACCUGCACCGAAAACUCGCAUUAUAUUAAACUGAGCAUAGAGCGUUUUAGGCGCGGAGCGAACAACUCUCUAGUAGCUCAGUUACGAAUAAACAUCCUCCUUGUUUAGCAAAAAAAAGAAACGAAAGAAGAAUAAACAUCUUCCUUGCAUGAGCGGAGAGAUUACAUAUUAAUGAAAGUUGUGAGAGAGGCGCUAAGGCCUCUAAAACUCAUUUCACUCCGGUUAUAGUUAAAAACAAAAGUGGCUUUGUUUCAUUCAAUGGUCAGCGUUUUACAUAUGACAAUUAUAACCAUUACACCAAGUUGAUUUUAUAAGUAGCGUAACUAGCGUUCACAUAAAUCACAUAUUACAUACAACUUUAUUAAAAGUAAAAGUUAAUUCAAAAUUUAUUUUUGAUUAUUCUUAACCAAUUUUUAUCUUUGUUAGGUGCUAGAUCCAAUCCAAACAUACAAAUAACUUCUUGCGAUUUUUAGAUCAAUAUUUGAUAAAUUUUAAAAUAUUGUGACGGAAGUAAUAUUUUCUCAUGCGUAGAUGAAUUAACAACGUUUUCUAAUGCUAAAAUGACCAGUUUUCUAUUACAAAAAAAUAUAAUAAAUCUAAUAUGUGAGUGAGUUUUACUUCAAGACACUUUAUUUUUCUUUCAAACAGAACAAUGAAUAAUGUAAUACUAAUAGAUAUAUUUUCGAAGUAAUUUUAUUUAAAAUUUAAUAUAGAAAAUGAAAAUAAAUUAGAAUUGAAGAAUAUUUAACUCUGAAAUGAAUUUUGAAAAUAUAAAAUGAAUAUAUAUAUGAUUUUUUCUGUAAAAAAAAUUAUAAAUGAAUAUACGUGUUUAUAUUUUUAAUUUUUGAUCUCCUAAUGAAUAUCCUGUUAAUUCAUCCAAAAUAAAAUUCAUCCUGGUGGUUAAGAGGAAAAAACUUGUGUUGCUGAGUUUUAAAGUCAUUAAUUAGCAUCAUGUCCGAGUCGAAUUUAUCUCAUGGCUACAAUAUUGUAAGCAAAUUUCACUUUAUUUGGUACCUGAUUAAUUAUUUAAUGUUUUUUACAACAAAUAACUGUGUUUAAUUAUCUUUUCUUCUACUAGAUUGUAUUAUUUUAUAUCUUUUUAAAAUCGGUGGUCUACGUCAACUCGUGUACGAGUAGUCAUGGUGUUUCAUUACACUUGAUUAAUGCCCUCGACAUACCGUGCUUUCUCGCAUUUCUUUAUUAAUGCUCUCGUUUGAGAUUAUAUUCUGUUGUAUAAUAAAGGUGAAGUAUUUAUAUAGGGAAACUUCGGUUAUGUUUUUCGGACUUCAAGAUCAGUUACUUUCCAAGGACGCAGAAUGAGAUUGCAGAUUCGUUGGUUAGGAAUGCACGUUCAUUUCAUAGAUCCUUAUGUUUUAUUGGUUGUUUUAUUCCGAUCUGGCUUCCCAGACCACCUCAAGUUUGAGUAAUAGAAUAGCCGUUUGCCGGAAAAAAAAAAAAAACUAUAACGGACCAUGAUAUUAAGCUUCUACCCACAGCAACACUUAGGCUACGAUACAGUGUAUAUAUUUGUGUAUAAUGGCCAAAAUAUCCCACCAUGCGCGUGGAAAACUGUAGGCCCCACCGGAUCUUUCGUUUUGCCUAACCUCUGGAAACUGAAACGUUUAGAAGUUUUAUAAAAACAACACCCCGACAAAGACGAAAUCUUUAGAGAGUGUCCAAGUUCGUGUGGCUUUCAGAGGAAAAGGGAUUCUCUAUCGUGAGUCGGUGUGGUAUAGAGCGAGUAAAGGGAUAUCAGAAGCUUGGGUUUGCGAGGCAGUUGUAAUUGGCGUUGGGAGGCGCGAUUGAAGAGGGUUAACAGAAGGAAUCGAGGUACAAACUUAAAUCGGCGAUUUGCAGUCUAUCAGAAUCAUUAAUUUAGCCUAUCAUUUUUCCGCCAAACCAAUCGUGUUUACGGUACUUAAAUCGACCAUUUCCACUAUAUUGCAGAUCUGUGAAGAAGUUCUGAACGGCGGCUGAGUAGAAAGGUAAAUUUAUAGCAUUGUUGCAUGCGAUUAAGUUCUUAAAGGCAAUCUGUUAUAUGUCGCGUUUCGCGUGUUUGUUUAUGUGUUUUAGUGUCUGCAAAUCAUUUCUGGGUUUGGUUGGGGUGUUGGAAGACAAUUAAAAAAAAACAAUACUAUGUUAGACAAAGAAUAGUAUGAUGUGGUAAGGUGACAUGUAUGUAUGGUUAAGCGAUUGUGUCACAUGCGAUUUAGUUUAGCGAUUCUGUUGCAUGCGAUUAUGUUUUUAAACGAUAUCUGUUAUAUGUCGAGGUUCGCAUGUUGGGCUAUGUCGUUGGUGUCUGCAAAUCGUUUCUGCGUUUGGUAGUGGUAUUGAAAGAGAAUUACUAUAACUAUACUAUGUUAGAUAAAGAAUAGUAUGAUGUGGUAUGGUGUCAUGUAUGGCUGGUUAAGCGUUUUCUGUGCUAUUGACUUCAAUAUGUGUCUACUUGGUUUGCAACAACACUAUAACUACCUGCAUGUAUGUCGAAGUUGGGCUUGUUAUUGUCUUAGGGCGUCAGAAUAAUUAAUAUAUUUUGUUAUGCUCGUAUAGUAGGUCUGAUGUUGUGUCUUUGCAGGGAAAGAAUGGAAGAGUUAGGUUUGCCAGAGCGCUUGUUUCUGACCGGAUAUGAACCUACAGGGCGAAAAAGAAUUAACAACUAUUUCAAUUUGCGGUGGAUUGAGGUCGUAAAAGCAGCACUUUCAGAUUCUCAACAGGAGAUGUUGGCGGAAUCUCAGUUUAGACAACUCAUACUAAUGGGGUCGCAUACAUUUUCAGUUAUGUUUGCACACCAGAUGUUGUCCCGUCAGUUGGUUACCCGGAAGCUGUAUGAGCUGUGGUGGUUGUUCUGCUUAUACAUAUAUCGUCGAUCCAUUUCAUUACCUAGAAACCUCAGAAUGGAAGUGGAGGUGUCUCCACUUUCUACCUGUUAUCACAAUUUCCCUGACUAUACUAUAUAGCGUAUAGUCUGGUAAACUUGUAAUCCAAAAAUGUUAAAUGUUUUACAUACUCUAUAUCCCGCAAUAAUACACUGACCCAUUCCCUUGUGAUAGUUAGACUUCACUUCUUAUCAUUUGUUCUUUUUUUUCCAUAUAUCCUUCUUCGAUGUUAUCACCUACAAACCUCAGCCGGCGAAAUACAGGUGUGUUCCCUUGUAUGCAUGUUCCCAAAAUGUUCCAGACUAUUCUGCCAUCGUAUGGUCUAGUCAUAUUGUAAACUACAAUUGGGUCGGUAAGACAACGUAUUUUGUGUCCGCAUUUCUCAAAUACCUCACCCUCUUCCAAGGAACAGGCUUUACCAUGUUAUAUGUAUAAGCAGAACCUAAGCAGUUUGUUGUGAAAUCGGGAGCACUAGUCGCGUAUUUAAAAUGCAGUAUCGUUAGUUGCCGGCUUGUAACUCAUUGGUGAUGUUUUGAAUAAUUAAGUGCGUGGUUAGGAUAUAAAAGUGGCAGACUAUUCUAUUAUAGGUUUGGUACAACUCAUUUACGCACAUGCUAUUUUUUCUUUCCUCUCCGUGGACACGCACACGCGCUUGAAAGGUCAAGUCCGUCACUUUUGGCCCAAACCUGUCCCUUCCUUGAGCCGUUAUGGUAGCAUGGCUAUAUUGUCUAAUUGUUUCUCAAUUAUGAAUAUACACCAAAUUCUCCCAUUUAUAUAUCUGAAUUUAAUUAUAUUAUUCUUUUAUGUGUUUGGUAUAUUUGGAAGAAGAAAGAAAACGAUAGUGGGAGAGAGAGAUAAAAGUGAUGUUUUUGUUUCUUGUUAUGAAAGAGAGAUACGUAAAGUUGCUCAUAUAUAUAAUUUCAAGUGAACAUGAAACCCUUUAUACAGAGGGAAGAAGUUCGUUAAACACACAAAAAGACAAAACCAUUAGACUGACACGUGCAGUGGUGAUGGUGCAAAUCUGACCAAGGGGAAAGGACAAGUAUUCAAGCUGGAUAAUCAUCCAAUUUUGAUAUUUAUCUUCUAACACUCCCCUUUGAUUAUCCAUCUUGUAUUACGUAGUGCCUCGUUAAAAACUUAGUCAUGGAAAAACCCGUUGGGACAAAAACCAUGACAAGGGAAAAAGAGUACACUGCCAUAAUCUUCCCCUAAAAAUAAUGGACAUAGCUUUUUCUUCACAGGUCACGUAAAUGCUGCAUUCCGAUACUAUAGUUUCGGAAUGUUGUAGUAGGAAGAGCUUUUGUGAACAAGUCAGCCGGAUUGUCGCAUGACCGUACAUAUUCAAUGUCCACUUCUUUAUUUUUCUCGUGUUCCCUUAUGUAUGAGAAAAAUCUUGGAGGGAUAUGCUUUGUUCUGUCGCUUUUGAUGUAGCCUUCUUUGAGUUGAGCGACACAAGCUGAAUUGUCUUCAAAUAUUUUCGUCGGCUCUUUCUCGUUAACUAUUCCGCUUGAUUCUUGUAUGUGGUGACUCAUUGACCGAAGCCACACACAUUCUCGACAUGCUUCGUGAAGCGCAAUAGUUUCUGCAUGAUUCGAAGAUGUCGCAACCAGAGUUUGUUUUUGAGACCGCCAAGAGAUCGCGGUUCCACCAAUUGUAAAAACGUAGCUGGUUUGCGAUCGAGCCUUAUGAGGAUCUGAUAAGUAUUCUGCAUCUGCAAAACCAACCAUACCAAACUUGGGUUUUCUAAUAUACAUUAACCCUAAAUCAACUGUAACUUGGAGGUAACGGAAUAUGUGCUUUAUUUCGUUCCAAUGCCUGCGAGUAGGAGUAGAGCUAUAUCUUGCUACUAGAUUAGUAUCAAAAGCAAUAUCAGGCCUAGUACAGUUUGCAAGAUACAAAAGCAUACCGAUAGCACUAAUAUAAGGUACUUCAGGACCUAAUAUCUUCUUGCUAUCUUCGCAGGGCCUAAAUGGAUCUCUCUCAACAUCGAGAGUUCUACCAAUCAUUGGAGUACUCAAAGGAGUUGCUUUAUCCAUAUAAAAGCGUUUCAAUAAUCUUUUCGUAUAAUUUGAUUGAUGCACAAAUAUUUAUUCUCGGAGAUGCUCAAUCUGGAGCCCAAGACAAAACUUUGUCUUGCCGAGAUCUUUCAUUUUGAACUCCUCUUUCAUAUGAGUUUGAGCAUCAUCAACCUCCUUUUGAGUUCCAAUUAUGUUCAGGUCAUCUACAUAUACAACAAUGAUUACAAAGCCAGAAGACAAUUUCUUUAUAAAAACGCAUGGAUACAUCGGAUUAUUCACAUAUCCUUUACUCAAAAGAUAUUCACUUAAGCGAUUGUACCACAUGCGUCCGGAUUGCUUUAAUCCGUAAAGUGAUCGCUGUAACUUGACCGAACAAAUCUCCCUGGAUUUUUUCUUUCAAUGCCCCUGGGAUUUUCAAUCCCUCAGGAAGUUUCAUAUAUAUAUCGUUAUCCAACGAUCCAUAUAAAUAUGCAGCCACAAUGUCCAUGAGAUGCAUCUCAAAAUUUUUAGACGCCGUUAGGCUCAUCAAAAAUAUAAACAUAAUAGCAUCCAUUACCGGGGAAUAUGUUUCCUCAAAAUCAAUUCCCGGUCUCUGAGAAUUACCGGGCAACCAAUCGGGCUUUAUAUCGUGUUAUUUCAUUUUUCUCAUUUACUUUUCUCACGAAUACCCACUUAUACCCAACAUGAUUUAUAUUCUCAGGCGUUAUGACUAUAGGUCCAAAGACAUUUCUUUCAUUCAGGGAGAGUAAUUCAAUUUGAAUGGUCUUCUUCCACUCCUCCCAAUCAUGUCUUUUCUGGCAUUCCAAAAUGGACCUUGGAUCAGGAUCAUCAUUUUCAUGAUCGAUCUCUUUUGACACAGAAAAAGAGAACAUUCCAUCAACAUCUUUAUCUUAUUUCAGAUCCAUAACUUUUUAUCUCGGGCGUAGUUGAUGGAAAUCUCAUACUUUUCAGUUCCCUUUUCGUCAUCUGAAUCAUCUUUAUUUAUGUCUUCAUUCAGACAUUUUUCAGUAAAAGGUUCUUCUAGAACCUUUCCAUUUAUGUCUUCUUUCAGACAUCUUUCAAUAUUAGGUUCUUCUGGAACCUUACUUUGUUCAUCCAAUUUCCUUUUCUUUCGGGGAUUUUUAUCUUUAGAACCUGCUGCCCCCCCCCCCUCUUUAACUAAACCCGAGGUUCAUUCAUUUUGUCCCCUCUUUAACUGAACCCUAGGUUCAUUCAUUUUGUUUCCAUCAGUUUGUUCUUUAGGAACAUCAACUCUUGAUGGAACAUUUUCAGCGGGUAUACAUGACUUCGUCACCCUUCUCGUAUCUGUGCACGCAUCUGGUAACUGGUUUGCCAAAUUAUGCAAAUGCACAAUUUUCUGAACUUCCAGUUCUCUUUGAUUCGUAGGGGGUUCAAGGUGUAACAUCGACGGUGUACACCAUGUAAUCUCUUUAGGAAUUCUAUUAAUUCCUCCCCCUAACACUGGAAAUUCAUCCUCAUUAAAAUGGCAAUCGGAAAACCAUGCUGUAAACAUAUCACCAGUUACCGGUUCCAAAUAUCUUAUUAUACUUGGUGACGUAUAACCCACAUAUAUUCCCAAUCUCCUUUGUGGGCUCAUUUUUGUUUUUUGUGGCGGAGCUAUCGGAACAUAUAUCGCACACCCAAAGACAGGGAGACGGGAUACAUAUGGCUCUUGCCCAGACGCCAACUGUAAUGGGGAGUAUUUAUGAUAUGCACUCGGUCUUAACCGAACCAGUGCAGCCGCAUGCAAUAUAGCAUGACCCCAUACAAAAAUUGGAGCUUUGUUCUCAAGACUAACGGUCUUGCAAUCAACUGCAACCGUUUUAUCAGUGACUCGGCCAUGCCACUUUGUGUAUGAACAUGGGGAACUAGAUGCUCCACAUCAAUCCCCAUUGACAUACAAUAAUCAUCAAAGGCUUGCGAUGUAAAUUCACCAUCAUUAUCAAGCCUUACUUUCUUAAUGGCAUACUCUGAGAACUACGUUCUCAGCUUUGUUAUCUGGGCAAUAAACUUUGCGAAAGCCGUAUUUCGUGUCGUCAAAAGAGACACACUUGACCAUCUACUAGAUGCGUCAAUCAAUACCAUGAAAUACUUAAACGACCCGCACGGUGGGUGGAUCGGCCCACAUAUAUCACCAUGUAUUCUUUCUAAAAACAUUGGUGAUUCAUUGCCUACUUUUGCUGGUGAUGGCCGAGUUAUAAGUUUUCCUUGAGAACAUGCAUUACAUGUAAACUCGCCCGUUUGCAAAAAAAUUUCGUUUUCAACGGAUGGCCAUUCGAAUUCUGCACUAUCUUUCUCAUCAUGACUGAUAGGAUGUCCUAGCCUCUCAUGUCAUAUUUUAAAUGUAUCAGUAAACUUCAUGUUUACCAUGGCAUAUGACUCAGUCAUGGUAAUUUUCGUACAAUAUAGUCCAGAGGAUAACAUUCUUACUCUUCCAAUAUAUGUCUCCUCUCGGACUUAAUGCAAAGAAAUUCAAUGCUAUCUUCACUCAUAGUCUCAAUGUGAUAUCCAUUUCUUCGGAUAUUGAUAAACUAAAUAAAAAUCCUUGCUACUGUCAAGUUAAUAGUGGUAAUUGUAAUAUUGAGAUUCAAUCCAGAGGACCAGUUUACUCCUUACUCUUAUGAGUUCAAUAUUUAGCUGGGAAACAAGUGGGGUUUCAAAAUCAAUGGUGACGCAAGUAACUAAAAUACCUAGAGAUUCAAAUUCGAUUUAAAUGAAAGCCGGCUUAGGGUUGUUCAUCGGGUGUCAAUGCGGAACCAAACAACUAUUCAAGUGCAAUGAGGUGCAGUCUAGAACUCGGAUCACUCGGCUAGAACAAUCCACUAUCGUGGACUUGUUCCCUUUGCUGAUCGGUCUUGAGUCCUAAGCUCUCACUUGGAACAAGACGCGAUAGCAAGCCUUAGAGAUCAGGUCCGAUUAGUUCACUUAAUACCCUAAUAUCUACUCUUGCUGAUUAGGGAUAUGAAGAUCAUUCAAUAUAUGUCAGUUUAUCUCCUAAGCGGUUAGCUAGGUGAUUAAACUAGAGUUCGAACAUUAAGUGAUCAAUUCAAUGCAAGCCGUAAGAACAAUAUGAAUGAAGAACAGUUAAAAUCACUUAUUUGCGUUUAGCUCAUGCGAUUGACACCCUAAAACCCUAAGCAAGCUUAGCCGACUACUCAAUCAUAAAGCAAGAUGACACAGACAUGAUUUCUGAAUAAUACUGCAUAUAAAAUAAAGUAGAAAGACAAGGGUUCAGGAUGAUCUUCUCGUGAAAUUGAGAGAUGUCGCCUUCUCCCUUACAAGUUGCUAAAUCCAAAAUUAGUUCUCUGUCCCUUCUAAAAACUAGCGUCCUCUUAGAAAUGAUUACAUAGCCUUUUUAUAUGGAGGCACUAGUGGUAAAGAGAAAGGAGAGAAAGUCUAGGGCAAACCCCUGAAAUCUUGGAGGUUUCCUUAAUAUUCGGGAACAGUCAGUCGCUUGUUCUCUUUGGGAACAACCUUUGGAUUGAUCCGACUGGAUGUUCUGCGUUAGAUAUUCGAAAAUGACUUUUUCCUUCAUGGCACUCUCUUCUUUACUCUUUCACCUGCUCCAAACCUGGAAUGAUAUCAAGUAAGCACAAAUUAGGACUGAGAAUUAACUCAAACAACACCUGUAAUGGUAUUAAAAACACCAUAUAUCAAUUCCCCCAGACUUAGAUCCUUGUUUGUCCUCGAACAAGGCCAAGCCUCAAGAACAGGGAGAAAAGUUUGAAAGAGUGGAAACUCGCUUGACCUCAAUAACCAUACUCUUACCACACAUCUCUGAAUCAUACAAGCUGUAGACUUAGACCACACACCCUUACCAAAACACCCACGAUCGCUGUUCGAAAUUCAGCUCCAUACUCUGUAUCUCAUACCUGAAAAAGGGUACACUAUCGAGACAGAACUCCUUAAAUUCAAUUAAGAACAGCGUGAGCUUCUCAUCACAUGCACUAUUCAGGGUAGACGGGCUAGGUAAGGAACAAGCUAUUUCAUGGUGGAGCUAAGAGUGUUUAGGGGCUACCAAAUUUAAGUGGAUGCAGGAUAUCGCGCAAAAUAGUAGGAGAUGACAUAUCCAUUGAUGUCCACAUCCCUUACUCGUUUCUACUUCACGGGUGCAGUUGUUCUCUCAUUUGGAUCAACCGUGGGACUGUUCUCCAUUUCUUGACUUCCCUCGCCUACUCCUCAAAAAUUGGUACCAACUCCUUGCUCAACCUUCCCAGUGACGUGUGUUUAUAUAUAUAUUUUAAUAAUACUGGGGUUGCGAGGGAGAGGCAACAUAAUGAAUGUUUCGCAGCCACCGGUGGUCUAUUCUUUUGUUUCUCACUGGUCACCAUUGUUCCUCUGGUUAGAACAUGCACUCAUAGACUGUUCUCUUGUUAGAGCAUGGUCUCAUCGACUGUUAUCUUCAUGCCUCUGGUUAGAACAUGAACUCAUAGACUGUUCUCUUGUUAGAGCAUGGUCUCAUCGACUGUUCUCUUCAUGCUUGAUCUCUCUUCUCUGAGUGUAUGACAUUAACGAGUAAGAGGCUGCGUCGAUCAUUUUCUCUCCGACCCUUUUGCACAUAUCUGCACAUAUGACACUAAAAAACGGAGUGCAUGAGGGUAAAAAUAAAGGCUUAGGCGCAAGGUGGGAACUAGCUAAAGAUGAGCUAGCCACUCAGGAUCAGCAAGAUUGGUAAAUGGAGUAAGAAGUCCUGAGUGUAAGUCUCGUUUCCCUGAUCUAGUGCCCAUAACAAGAAGAAUUUCAGUCAAGAUUAGGUUCAGGUUAGGUGGAGUUAAGUCUACCCAGUGUAACCUGAUCGGUUGAGAGCUUCUGGAGAAUCAAAUGAGAUAAGUCAGGGGUGUUCCGGGUCCAAGUGUGGGUCUUUCAUCACUGCUAAGGUCACUGGAUAAGAAAGUUAGAGCACAAGGUGGUUAAAAGAUUAUCACAACAAAAGGUCCUAAUUCCCACUAAACUUUUAGCUGACUCGAUCCUAAACUGACUCAAUAAAACAUCCAAAUGACAUAGGGACUGACUCAGAAAUAAAGACAUGGAGUAUCAGCACACAACAAGUGCUUCCCCCAGACUUAAUUUACACCAUCCUUGGUGUAAAACCAAAUCGAGGUCAGCCAAAUAACAACACAAAGCAUAAAAAUAAAGAGUUCAGAUGGAUAGAACAAUGGAUAGAGAAUAGUCCUUGCGGACUCAAUCGGACUUGCCGCUCUCGGCCGGAUCAAACAAACGUCUGUUGCACGAGCGAUGAAUCCCCUCAGUUGAAGUGCAUGUUCCCAUAGGCGCUUUCCUGGUCGGUGCGAUCGUGGAGUCUGCUAUGCUGGUGACUGUCGCUGGUUACUUCUGCCAAUGCAGCCGCCGGUAACGAGAUGGAGGAUCAGCCACAUGAGACUGUUGUUCUUCCGCUGCGAGUCAACCAUCCAGCGUCGGUAAGCCUGAUCAUCUGUCACAUCCGCCAGCUCUCUGAGGUCAUAGGAUGGGUCAUCUUCUGGGGUAAUGUCCUUGACAUCCUCCAUAUCCGCGUCAGGUGCAGCAGCACGGGGAUCAGUGCAUAUGUGCUCGGGUGGUGGGAGGAAGCGUAUGUUAUCGAACACGCUGAGCCUGGUGAUCUCGGGGUGAGGCAGCUUGGUGAACAGUUGGGUACCCUCCUUGUCGAAGAAGCUGUAGGUAUCCUCAUCGCGCAUGAUGUGGAAUGCCAUAAGGUACUUGAUGUCGAGGUACUGAAUCUUCGUGUUCACCAUGUAUUUGCUGAGAUCAAUGCCGAAAUGCUUGUAGAGCGGCGUGAGCAAGCUAUCACUUAUGUCCUUGUUCGUGAUGUGCAUCAGACAGAGCCUCCUCUCGCAAAGCAUGGUGAUGAAAUGAAAGCCUGGGUUCGUCUUGACCUUCUGAAUUGGAAUGCUAGACCCUGAACCGCAGAUCUCAUCCUCAAUACCUGCAUACAGGGUUUGCAGCUCCCCGUUUGUCACUUUGGAAGUCUGAUCCUUGGCAAACAGGAGGUUUGAAAUGAUCUUUGCAAUGACUCUAAGUGCCGGGUUCCUGAUCUGUGACUGGUAGGCUUUGCCAGGUGUGAAGUUCCCAUUCGCGAUGAAGUCCCAGAAGGUGUUUGAUGGGGUGAACUUUUUCACCACUGCUACCACUCUCGGCUCAUUCGCGAUUCCAUAGGGAUGAAAUGAAAGCCUGGGUUCGUCUUGACCUUCUGAAUUGGAAUGCCAGACCCUGAAGCGCGGAUCUCAUCCUCAAUACCUGCAUACAGGGUUUGCAGCUCCCCGUUUGUCACUUUGGAAGUCUGAUCCUUGGCGAACAGGAGGUUUGAAAUGAUCUUUGCAAUGACUCUAAGUGCCGGGUUCCUGAUCUGCGACUGGUAGGCUUUGCCAGGUGUGAAGUUCCCAUUCGCGAUGAAGUCCCAGAAGGUGUUUGAUGGGGCGAACUUUUUCGCCACUGCUACCCCUCUCGGCUCAUUCGCGAUCUCAUAGAUUUCGUUGAGUUUGUCGAGGGACAGUGAGCAAUACUCUCCAUCAGCCAUGAAUGAGAAGGAGCAGUUGGCGUAGGAAGGAGCAGAGAAGUCCUCAUAGCUGAUGGUGGCAGUGGCGAGCACUUGGCGGACAAGGUCAGGGUAGAGCUCGUGCGUAGCGUAACAAAGGGGAGCGAUCCCCAUCGCUUGCAGCGUCUCGAACACAUCCUCGUCGAUACCGAGCUCAACGAGAGUCUCGGCGUGGCAAAAACGGGUAGGUAGUAUCUCGGCCUUGAGGAGAGUGUUGUACCGACUAGCUGUCUCCUUGUCCCACCCUUCGCAUUUGAAAUCUAAAAGCAUAGGGUCAUCGAGAUUGAUUGGCUCGUCCUCCUGUUCUCGCGGCCAUGGGUAAGAGGCGGAGGUUGGUUGUUGUGCUCGCUGUGGGGGCGUGUUGUUCGUCUUCCUUGUUUUAUUGGCCGAUUGCUUGGUGCGUGGAGGCAUCUGCAAGGCAAACAAAAGUUUUUCAUUAGUUCCAUCCUCGGUUGCAUAGAAGAAAAGGAAUCAAACUAAUUCUCUUUUAGGAACUAUUCCUUUUUCCUUCUAAGCAAUCUGCCUUCAACAAACCUAACACCAACUCGCCAAAUCAGACAAUUUCAACUUUUCACAAUCACAAUUCAUAUGAGCAAUUACUUUUCACAAUCACAAUUCAUAUGAGCAAUGUAUAUCAAGAUGCAACAUUUUGUCUAAAUCGAAACUUGCUCAAACAAAGGAGAAAUGAAACCGCGAUUCUCUAGGGCUAAGAGACAAAAGUUCAACUUCUAAAAUCAACCCUAACAUCAUAAGAGAAUUUCAGAUCAAGCUAUUUCUAACAAGAAUCGAACUAUCGAAGCGGUUUAGAAGGGUGAGCUUUUCAAACCGAAAUAGCGAUUCUGUUUUGAUUGUCGAGCCUCUUACCGUGAUAAUCAGAGCAAAUGGACUGCAAAAACAGAGAGAACUCGAAAAUCCAAUUGGAUUAGAAGCAAGAAUCACUUAAGAAGAGUGAGAAUUUAAGUUUUGGUGAUGACUUCAAAAUCGCAAGAGAGGGAGGAGGGUACGGUUGAGUUAAAAGGGAAAGUGGAAGGGUGGAGCCUUAAAUAGGCGAAACCCUAACCGCUCUCCAUUAUCUCUCUCUCUUUUCUUUUUUUUUUUUUUGUCCGGAACAAUUACCUGGAACAGGUGAUGGGUUGUUCCACCAGAAGAACAGUCCUUCGGUUGUUUUGACUAAAGUGUUCGGGGUUUUUUUUUUUUUUUAACCUGCAAACUAAAUUUGAAAAGAGAUAAAAUAGACUAUAGAAAACAAUAUAUACACUCACAAGUGGGUUGUCUCCCACCAAGCGCUUAGUUAAAGUCUUUAGUUUUACUUGGCUCAACCGAUCAGGCUGAUGGGGGAUCGCUUGGGGAAUUUCUUCACCCUCUGCGAUAGUGGAGUCAGCAAGGUAAUGCUUGAUGCGCUGACCAUUGAUGACGAACUCGUCUCCCUUUCUGUCCAGCAACACAACAGCUCCGUAAGGGCGGACUUCCUUAACGGUGAAGGGUUCAGACCAUCUAGAUUUCAGCUUGCCUGGGAACAACCUAAGUCUAGAGUUGAAGAGCAAAACCUUAUUGUUUGGUUUGAAACGUCUGGCAAUGAUUCGCUUGUCAUGGUAGGCUUUGGUCUUCUCCUUAUAAAUUUUGGAACUCUCAUAGGCGAGGUGCCUUAUGUCUUCCAGCUCAUGGACUUGGAUCAUGCGCCUCUCAGUUGCUAGCUUGAUGUCAAAAUUUAGUAACUUGACCGCCCAUGAAGAUGACAAGCCUUACCAUAGACAAGGUGAUAGGGGGUGGUUCCUAGCGGUGUUUUGUAGGCUGUUCUGUAGGCUCAGAGAGCAUCGUCCAGCUUAAGCGACCAGUCCUUGCACGAGGUAUUGACAGUUUUCUGUAGAAUGUUCUUGACUUCCCUGUUGGAAACUUCAACCUGUCGACUCGUCUGGGGGUGAUAAGCGGUAGCCACCUUGUGAUUCACCCCAUUCUUCUUCAACAGGCCCUGAAAUGCCUUGUUGAUGAAGUGUGUUCCGCCAUCGCUAAUGACCACUCUAGGCACCCCAAAUCUCGGAAAGAUGAUGGAGCUGAACAUCUUAGUCACCACUUUUGCAUCAUUAGUGGGACUCGCCACUGCUUCUACCCACUUGGAGACAUAGUCAAUGGCGACUAGGAUGUACUCGUUCUUGAAGGACGAAGGGAAUGGUCCCAUGAAGUCGACUCCCCAACAGUCGAAUACCUCAACUUCUAAAAUGUAAUUCUGAGGCAUUUCAUUCCUUUUGGUGAUGUUCCCAAGUCGCUGGCAUGUAUCGCAUCGAGCUAUGUAGGCGUGAGCAUCUCUGAACAUAGUUGGCCACCAGAAACCUUCUUGGAGGAUUUUGGAAACCAUUUUGAAUGUGGCGAAGUGCCCUGCGUAAGAUGAACCAUGGCAAUGAUGUAGAAUCCCUGGAAUUUCUGCCUCUGUAACACACCUUCUGAAUAUGCCAUCCUUGCAAUGUUUGUACAAGUAGGGUUCAUCCCAAACAUACUGCCUCGCUUCUCUUAAGAAUUUCCUCUUCUCGUUUCCAGUGAACUUAAGUGGUUCCUUUUCAGCAGCUAGGAAGUUCACAAUCUCAGCAAACCAGGGGAGGUGAGAGUACUGCUUUUGGAUCGCGGCUACUGGUUGUUCCGGUACGCGAGGACAAUCGGAUGUUAUGCUCAGGGGUUUUUCCGCGAAGCGCAGACCAAUCGCGUUGACGUGUUCCACUGUGUGUUCUUCAUCAAGAGCUGUGUUGUCCUCAAUCUUCAUUCUGGACAAGUGGCCUGCAACCCCAUUCUCGACUCCCUUUUUGUCUUUUAUCUCGAUAUCAAAUUCUUGGAGAUGAAGAAUCCACCUCAACAACCUCGGUUUUGCAUCCUUCUUUGUGAGCAAGUACUUAAGAGCAGCAUGGUCUGUGUGCACAACCACCUUUGAUCCCACCCGGUAGGAUCUGAACUUCUCGAAUGCAAAAACAAUAGCUAGGAGCUUCUUCUCAGUCGUAGCGUAUCUGCAUUGAGCUUCAUCCAUGGUUUUGCUUGCGUAAUAGAUCACAUGAAGUUUCUUGUCCUUGCGCUGCCCAAGGACUGCUCCAACUGCAAAAUCGCUAGCAUCAGUCAUGAUCUCAAAAGGGAGAUCCCAGUCUGGCGGUUGUACAACAGGUGCGCUGACUAGAGCUCCUUUGAUCGUAUGGAACGCAGCUACGCACUCGCUUUUAAAAUCAAACUUGAUCUCCUUGCAGAGCAGUCUGGUGAGUGGUCUCGCUAUUUUUGAGAAGUCCUGGAUGAACCUCCUGUAAAACCCAAGAAGCUUCUGAUAGCUUUCACAGUUGUUGGUGGCUGCAAGCUCAUCAUCACCUCGACCUUUGCCUUAUCUACCUCAAUGCCUUUCUCGGAGAUCUUAUGCCCUAGAACAAUCCCAUCUCUGACCAUGAAGUGGCACUUCUCCCAAUUUAGCACCAGAUGUUUCUCCUCACACCUUUUGAGUACCCUGCACAAGUUUGACAAACAUGCACUAAAGGAGCUUCCAUAGACACUGAAAUCGUCCAUGAAAACCUCCAUAAUGUCUUCAAUCAGGUCAGUAAAUAUCGACAUCAUGCAGCGCUGAAAUGUUGCUGGCGCAUUGCACAUGCCGAAUGGCAUUCUCCUGUAUGCGUAUGUUCCGUAUGGGCAUGUGAACGUCAUCUUCUCCUGAUCGUCCGGAUGGAUAGGGAUCUGAAAGAAACCUGAAUAACCAUCUAAAAAGCAGUAAUAUGGGUGGUUAGCCAAUCUCUCAAGCAUUUGAUCAAUGAAGGGAAGUGGAAAGUGAUCCUUUCUAGUGGCUGCAUUUAAUUUUCUGAAAUCAAUGCACAUGCGAUGUCCUGUCACUGUUCUAGUAGGGAUCAAUUCAUUUUUUUCAUUUGUGAUAAUAGUGAUCCCACCUUUCUUAGGUACUACAUGAACAAGGGUAACCCACUUACUAUCAUAUAUGGCAUAGAUCACACCCGCUUCAAGAAGUUUCAUUAUCUCUUUCUUAACAUCUUUUAGAUUCAGGUUUAACCUCCUCUGAUGUUCAACAUAAGUCAUUGAUUCAUCUUCUAGGUGUAUUCUAUGCAUUCAUAAAUCAGGUGAGAUGCCAGGUAUGUCAGCUAGUGAAUAUCCUAAUGCCUUACGAUGCUUCCUAAGCUCACACAAAAGCAGUGCAGUUUCCACAUUUUUGAGUUCAGCGUUCACAAUGACAGGGUAAGUGGAAUUCGGACCGAAGAAAGCGUACCUGAGCCCCUUGGGAAGGGGUUUUAGCUCAACUUUGGGAGCCUUCAACUCGCUCCAGGGAUCAUCAGGUUGGUUUGGCGAGUUCGGUAAAGGGGACGCUCCAGUUGGAGUGUUCUCGUCCUUGUUGCUUUCUUCCCCCAGACUUAGACUCGCCACCAUUCUUCCCAUACUCCUUGCGGAGUCAAGCAUCUUAGCAUACCCGUCUGCGUUAAUGUUCUCGACACUCUGCUUGGCCUCAGCUCUUACUAGUGCAAGCUCAAGUGGAUCUUUUGUAAGAAUCUCCUCGAUCAUCCCGUCGCGAGGUUGCAGCGGAUCAAUCCCUUCAUUCACCUUGAAGGCCUGUCCAUCCAGCAUCGCCUUCUUCAGCAGCUCAUCCAUCUUGAACUGCAUGACUAUGUCUCCCAGAUUGAGAUCAAUCUUCCCUUGCCGCACAUCAAUGAUGGCUCCAACAUUACAUAGGGAUGGUCUUUCUAAAAUGAGAGGAUCUUUGGAUUCCUCUUCCAGCUCUAGAACUACGAAGUCUGCUGGAACAGAGGUGUUCCCGAAUUUUACUUGGAGAUCCUCUAGAAUACCAACCGGGGACUUAAAUGAUUUAUACGCGAACACCAAGGACAUCCUAGUUGGUUUGAAAUGCGUGUAUCCCAGACGUCGUGCUACAGAGUAGGGCAUGAGGUUUACGCUGGAUCCCAGAUCAACCAGGGAGGAUGAGAAAAAUGUCUUCCCAAUCUGGAUAUAUAGGACGAACUUGCCAGGGUCUCCUUGCUUCUUUAUCUGUCUGUUCUGAAGCACUGCGCUGCACUCCUUAGAGAUAGUCAUGAAUUCGCUCUCCUCUGAUAUUUUUCCUGAGAUCAAUCCCUUCAUAAAGCUGCGCAUGGAGGGCAUCAUUUGGAUCGCAUCCAUCAAGGGGAGUCGGACGGUUAGGUCCUCCAACAUCUUUCUGCAUUUCAUCUCCUCUCGUUCCUUACGAGUAGCCUUUGCUGGAACAGGGUAAGGGACUUUAGGAGUGUAUUCGCGAGCAGGAACAUGCUCUGGGAUUGGGUGGACAGCCUCAGCUGGUUUUCUGGUUCUGGCGAAUUGGUUCCAACUGUUGGUUCCCUCUCCUACUCAGUUGCCGGGGUAUUGGCUAGUGGUAGUUCUAACUCUUUCUGCUUCCCCUUCUCAGCCGCAGUGAACCUCUUCUUUACCGGUUCCGACAAUUGCUUUCCACUUCUCAACUCAACCGCAAUGCACUCCUUAGGGUUUUUGUCAGUUUUUCCAGGUAUAGUACCUUGUUGCCUCUUGACGCUCUCAGCAGUCUGAGCAAUCUGAAUGUCCAUCUGUCUCAUAUGGCUCGCAACAUUGUCGUACUUGGUGCUCAAAUCGCUGAACAUAUGGUUCAUUCUGGUGUUGAUCUCGGUAGUAACCUGGUUUAGAGCCUUCCCUUGGUGUUGUUGUCCUUGGAGCAGCUCCUGCAACAUAGCUUUUGUCUCAUCUUGCGGAACAACGACAGGAGCGGAGGUAGCUGGCUGAGUGUUAUGGUGUUUCUGCAUCUGAGGUGGAUUGUUAUGCGGUUGGCUUAGUACAUAAGUCCGGGGUUGGUAGUUCUUUUGAUACCCGGCAUACUGACCUUGGUUACUCUAUGCAGGAUCAGCUAGUUUGUCUUGCUUAGGCCAUAAAAGCUGUGGGUUGUUCCUCACGUUAGGGUUUGGAUGGUAGUUUUUGAGCUGUCAUCCUUGCCCAUUCACGUAGCUCACCACUUGCUUAUCGUCUCCUGAUAUUUCAGCAUCAAACGCCAGGUCGCCGACACUCUUCUCAGGAGCUGCUUCUUUUAUUAUGAACACUUGGCUUUGGUUUCCCUUAAGCAGUUGGUCCACCUUUGUAGCGAGAUCAUCUAUGCUGUUCACACUCUUUGAGCGGUCAUGCUCCUUGUUCUUGUUUAGUGAACUUGAAACCAGGUUCUCAAUCAGAUCGAACGCACCAGGUGUGGUUUGAGUCAUGAAAUCUCCAUUACUCGAAGAGUCAAGGGUGUUUUGAAACUCAUAGCUCACUCCAUCAUAGAACACUUCCAAUAUAUAGUCAUCGUCAAACCCAUGGUUCGGGCACUCUCUCUGGUACUCCUUGUACCUCUCCCAAGCUUCAUGAAAAGGUUCAUCAGACUUCUGCUUGAAAUUGGAGAUCCUGUGCCGUAGAGCCGCGGUUUUAGACUUCGUGUAGAAGUGGCUCAGGAACGCUGAUCGAACCUGGUCUCAUGAGGUAAGAGAGCCAGUUGGCAGAGAUUGGAGCCAGCGAGAAGCUUUCCCUUCAAGAGAUAAUGGGAACAUCGUGCACUUGACAUAAUCUGGUGGCACUCCGUUAGAGCGAGAGAAAUUGCAGAUUCUCUCAAAGGCUUCGAUGUGGUCCAUCGGGAUGUCAGUAGUGAGACUGCUGAAUGUGCUCUUCUGUACCAGACUUAUCAGUGCAGGUUUGAUCUCAUAGUCUUGCCAAGUGCAAGGAGGAUGGUUGAUAGGGGAGCGGUUAGUAGCGAAGUUCCGAGGAAGGUUCCGCUCCCCAAUAGGAGCACCACGCUCUUCUCGCGAGGCGUUCUCAGCUGCUUCUUGAGCAGCUUGUUGCUGAUUUUGGAUGGUCUGCUGCAUCUGCAACAUCUGUUGUUGCUGAGUCUGCAUUUGUUGUUGAAUGAUUGCAAUUGCAGCAGUGAGGUCAUCCUGAUUGCCGUGAUCACCCAUGUUGGUGUUGGUUGUUCUCGACUGUUGACGGUUUUGUCUUUCUAAUCUUGCGAGUUCGUCGUUGGUCAGUUGAUGUAGUGGUCCUUGUGCGUUGCUCCGAGUAUGUCUACUGGUCAUGCACUUGGAUCAUGGAACCAAACAACUAUUCAAGUGCAAUGAGGUGCAGUCUAGAACUCGGAUCACUCGGCUAGAACAAUCCACUAUCGUGGACUUGUUCCCUUUGCUGAUCGGUCUUGAGUCCUAAGCUCUCACUUGGAACAAGACGCGAUAGCAAGCCUUAGAGAUCAGGUCCGAUUAGUUCACUUAAUAUGCUAAUAUCUACUCUCGCUGAUUAGGGAUAUGAAGCUCAUUCAAUAUAUGUCAAUUUAUCUCCUAAGCAGUUAGCUAGGUGAUUAAACUAGAGAUCGAACAUUAAGUGAUCAAUUCAAUGCAAGCAGUAAGAACAAUAUGAAUAAAGAACAGUUAAAAUCACUUAUUUGCGUUUAGCUCAUGCGAUUGACACCCUAAAACCCUAAGCAAGCUUAGCCGACUACUCAAUCAUAAAGCAAGAUGACACAGACAUGAUUUCUGAAUAAUACUGCAUAUAAAAUAAAGUAGAAAGACAAGGGUUCAGGAUGAUCUUCUCGUGAAAUUGAGAGAUGUAGCCUUCUCCCUUACAAGUUGCUAAAUCCAAAAUUAGUUCUCUGUCCCUUCUAAAAACUAGCGUCCUCUUAGAAAUGAUAGCAUAGCCUUUUUAUAUGGAGGCGCCAGUGGUAAAGAGAAAAGAGAGAAAAUCUAGGGCAAACCCCUGAAAUCUUAGAGGUUUCCUUAAUAAUCGGGAACAGUCAGUCGCUUGUUCUCUUUGGGAACAACCUUUGGAUUGAUCCGACUGGCUGUUCUGCGUUAGAUAUUCCAAAAUGACUUCUUCCUUCAUGACACUCUCUUCUUUACUCUUUCACCUGCUCCAAACCUGGAAUGAUAUCAAAUAAGCACGAAUUAGAACUGAGAAUUAACUCAAAGAACACAUGUAAUGGUAUUAAAAACACCAUAUAUCAGAUAUCCUUAAAACUUAAAAAGUUUCUAUGAGACUCAGGGGAAUACAAUGCAUCACUUAUUUCAAAUAUCGUUCCCCCUGGCAUUGAAAAUUUCGCUCUCCAGAGCCCAUAAUAAUCUUUGCAUUACCAGAUAUUGUACUUACGCUUCCAGCGUAAUCUCUUAUUUUAAAACUGGAUAAAUAUUUCUUAUCUUUAAUUAUCGUGUGCAUUGACGCACUAUUUGCCAAACACAAAUCUCCAUCCAGUCUCAAAGUUUGACAUUUUUCUGAAUAUAAAACAUAUAUUAUUAAACACGAAACAUUACAAAUAUAACAUAUAUCUUACAACAAAAGAUAUAGAUACUAUAAUACAGUCUAUUUAUAUCACAUUGAUUCUAUAUCACUCAUCGAUACUCUCUGGCUCAGCCAGAUAGUCUGAUACGUCGAGAUGAGUAUCAUCGUUUAAACCAUGAAAGGAUUGCCCAUGUUCAUCAGAGAUGAAGUUAGUUUCACCUCUUCCUUUCUCUUUUCCCUUUUGGAAUUCUCUAUACAGAUCGGCUAAAUGUUUUGGCGUACAACAGUUACGUAUCCAAUGACCUUUCAUGCCGCAUCUGUAGCAAACCUUUCCCGUUUGCCUUUUAUCAUCCUGGCCCUUUUCAUUCUUUUCAUUUUUGUGGAAGUCUUUAUUAUUUCUUUCAUCAUAGGGACGAAAUCUUCUUCCUCGUCCUCUUCCACGACCAUGAUAACGGUUUCCACCACGUCCACGACCUUGUCCUCUCCUAUUAUCAUAACUGGAUGAUGCAACAUUCGCUUCUGGGAAUGGAGCAGAUCCAGUGGGACGAGCUUGAUUGUUUAAAUUCACUAGUGAUAAUUCUGCUCUGCUACAAGGAGGACUUGCAUCAACUCCGAGUAACGGGUAUAUCCAUUCACCCGGUACUGUUGCUGCAUGACUACAUUUUCAGGAUGGAACGUGGAGAGAGUUUUCUCGAUCAUAUCAUAAUUACUUAUUUUCUCUCCACAUAACAUCAUCCUUGAAGUAAUUCCGAACAUCGCGGAAUUAAACUCACUAACACUUUUGUAGUCCUGGAACCGGAGAUGGAUCCACUCGUGUUUAGCUUUCUGUAAGAUCACAUAUUUCUGGUGAUCGAACCUCUCUUUUAAAGAUUUCCAGAGGUCACAAAGAUCCUCUUUCGUAAUAUAUUCAUCCUUUAAACCAUCAUGGAUGUGGUAUCGUAGAAAUAUCACGGCUUUUACCUUUUUCUCAUCCGACACCGUUUUUGAACUAUCGAUGGUUUCCAAAAGCCCGUUUCUUCUCAGGUGCUUCUUUGCACCCACUGCCUAGGUCAUAUAAUUAUUUCCCGUAAUAUCCAGGGCAUUAAUUUCGAGCUUUGUCAAAUUCGACUUGAUAACUGUAUUCAUAAAAUAAUAUAUAAAUAUAGUAAAGACGGGAAUUUAAAUGCAUAAUUUAAAUGCAGAAAUUAAAGGCAUAAAAUAAAAGCAUAAACUUAAAUUGCAUAAAUUUAAAUUGCAUAAAUUUAAAUAGCAUAAAUAAAAUCGAGAGGCUUAGCCUACCACAUGAUCCGAGGAGUCAUAGACUACCAUAUUGAUCAUUUUUUAAAGUCCGAGGAGAUAUGGUCUACCAUUUUGACUUUUACUUAUUUCAAGGUCCGAGGAGACUUAGUCUACCAUUUUUGACCUUUANNNNNNNNNNNNNNNNNNNNNNNNNNNNNNNNNNNNNNNNNNNNNNNNNNNNNNNNNNNNNNNNNNNNNNNNNNNNNNNNNNNNNNNNNNNNNNNNNNNNNNNNNNNNNNNNNNNNNNNNNNNNNNNNNNNNNNNNNNNNNNNNNNNNNNNNNNNNNNNNNNNNNNNNNNNNNNNNNNNNNNNNNNNNNNNNNNNNNNNNNNNNNNNNNNNNNNNNNNNNNNNNNNNNNNNNNNNNNNNNNNNNNNNNNNNNNNNNNNNNNNNNNNNNNNNNNNNNNNNNNNNNNNNNNNNNNNNNNNNNNNNNNNNNNNNNNNNNNNNNNNNNNNNNNNNNNNNNNNNNNNNNNNNNNNNNNNNNNNNNNNNNNNNNNNNNNNNNNNNNNNNNNNNNNNNNNNNNNNNNNNNNNNNNNNNNNNNNNNNNNNNNNNNNNNNNNNNNNNNNNNNNNNNNNNNNNNNNNNNNNNNNNNNNNNNNNNNNNNNNNNNNNNNNNNNNNNNNNNNNNNNNNNNNNNNNNNNNNNNNNNNNNNNNNNNNNNNNNNNNNNNNNNNNNNNNNNNNNNNNNNNNNNNNNNNNNNNNNNNNNNNNNNNNNNNNNNNNNNNNNNNNNNNNNNNNNNNNNNNNNNNNNNNNNNNNNNNNNNNNNNNNNNNNNNNNNNNNNNNNNNNNNNNNNNNNNNNNNNNNNNNNNNNNNNNNNNNNNNNNNNNNNNNNNNNNNNNNNNNNNNNNNNNNNNNNNNNNNNNNNNNNNNNNNNNNNNNNNNNNNNNNNNNNNNNNNNNNNNNNNNNNNNNNNNNNNNNNNNNNNNNNNNNNNNNNNNNNNNNNNNNNNNNNNNNNNNNNNNNNNNNNNNNNNNNNNNNNNNNNNNNNNNNNNNNNNNNNNNNNNNNNNNNNNNNNNNNNNNNNNNNNNNNNNNNNNNNNNNNNNNNNNNNNNNNNNNNNNNNNNNNNNNNNNNNNNNNNNNNNNNNNNNNNNNNNNNNNNNNNNNNNNNNNNNNNNNNNNNNNNNNNNNNNNNNNNNNNNNNNNNNNNNNNNNNNNNNNNNNNNNNNNNNNNNNNNNNNNNNNNNNNNNNNNNNNNNNNNNNNNNNNNNNNNNNNNNNNNNNNNNNNNNNNNNNNNNNNNNNNNNNNNNNNNNNNNNNNNNNNNNNNNNNNNNNNNNNNNNNNNNNNNNNNNNNNNNNNNNNNNNNNNNNNNNNNNNNNNNNNNNNNNNNNNNNNNNNNNNNNNNNNNNNNNNNNNNNNNNNNNNNNNNNNNNNNNNNNNNNNNNNNNNNNNNNNNNNNNNNNNNNNNNNNNNNNNNNNNNNNNNNNNNNNNNNNNNNNNNNNNNNNNNNNNNNNNNNNNNNNNNNNNNNNNNNNNNNNNNNNNNNNNNNNNNNNNNNNNNNNNNNNNNNNNNNNNNNNNNGCAAGCAGUAAGAACAAUAUGAAUGAAGAACAGUUAAAAUCACUUAUUUGCGUUUAGCUCAUGCGAUUGACACCCUAAAACCCUAAGCAAGCUUAGCCGACUACUCAAUCAUAAAGCAAGAUGACACAGACAUGAUUUCUGAAUAAUACUGCAUAUAAAAUAAAGUAGAAAGACAAGGGUUCAGGAUGAUCUUCUCGUGAAAUUGAGAGAUGUAGCCUUCUCCCUUACAAGUUGCUAAAUCCAAAAUUAGUUCUCUGUCCCUUCUAAAAACUAGCGUCCUCUUAGAAAUGAUAGCAUAGCCUUUUUAUAUGGAGGCGCCAGUGGUAAAGAGAAAAGAGAGAAAAUCUAGGGCAAACCCCUGAAAUCUUAGAGGUUUCCUUAAUAAUCGGGAACAGUCAGUCGCUUGUUCUCUUUGGGAACAACCUUUGGAUUGAUCCGACUGGCUGUUCUGCGUUAGAUAUUCCAAAAUGACUUCUUCCUUCAUGACACUCUCUUCUUUACUCUUUCACCUGCUCCAAACCUGGAAUGAUAUCAAAUAAGCACGAAUUAGAACUGAGAAUUAACUCAAAGAACACAUGUAAUGGUAUUAAAAACACCAUAUAUCAGAUAUCCUUAAAACUUAAAAAGUUUCUAUGAGACUCAGGGGAAUACAAUGCAUCACUUAUUUCAAAUAUCGUUCCCCCUGGCAUUGAAAAUUUCGCUCUCCAGAGCCCAUAAUAAUCUUUGCAUUACCAGAUAUUGUACUUACGCUUCCAGCGUAAUCUCUUAUUUUAAAACUGGAUAAAUAUUUCUUAUCUUUAAUUAUCGUGUGCAUUGACGCACUAUUUGCCAAACACAAAUCUCCAUCCAGUCUCAAAGUUUGACAUUUUUCUGAAUAUAAAACAUAUAUUAUUAAACACGAAACAUUACAAAUAUAACAUAUAUCUUACAACAAAAGAUAUAGAUACUAUAAUACAGUCUAUUUAUAUCACAUUGAUUCUAUAUCACUCAUCGAUACUCUCUGGCUCAGCCAGAUAGUCUGAUACGUCGAGAUGAGUAUCAUCGUUUAAACCAUGAAAGGAUUGCCCAUGUUCAUCAGAGAUGAAGUUAGUUUCACCUCUUCCUUUCUCUUUUCCCUUUUGGAAUUCUCUAUACAGAUCGGCUAAAUGUUUUGGCGUACAACAGUUACGUAUCCAAUGACCUUUCAUGCCGCAUCUGUAGCAAACCUUUCCCGUUUGCCUUUUAUCAUCCUGGCCCUUUUCAUUCUUUUCAUUUUUGUGGAAGUCUUUAUUAUUUCUUUCAUCAUAGGGACGAAAUCUUCUUCCUCGUCCUCUUCCACGACCAUGAUAACGGUUUCCACCACGUCCACGACCUUGUCCUCUCCUAUUAUCAUAACUGGAUGAUGCAACAUUCGCUUCUGGGAAUGGAGCAGAUCCAGUGGGACGAGCUUGAUUGUUUAAAUUCACUAGUGAUAAUUCUGCUCUGCUACAAGGAGGACUUGCAUCAACUCCGAGUAACGGGUAUAUCCAUUCACCCGGUACUGUUGCUGCAUGACUACAUUUUCAGGAUGGAACGUGGAGAGAGUUUUCUCGAUCAUAUCAUAAUUACUUAUUUUCUCUCCACAUAACAUCAUCCUUGAAGUAAUUCCGAACAUCGCGGAAUUAAACUCACUAACACUUUUGUAGUCCUGGAACCGGAGAUGGAUCCACUCGUGUUUAGCUUUCUGUAAGAUCACAUAUUUCUGGUGAUCGAACCUCUCUUUUAAAGAUUUCCAGAGGUCACAAAGAUCCUCUUUCGUAAUAUAUUCAUCCUUUAAACCAUCAUGGAUGUGGUAUCGUAGAAAUAUCACGGCUUUUACCUUUUUCUCAUCCGACACCGUUUUUGAACUAUCGAUGGUUUCCAAAAGCCCGUUUCUUCUCAGGUGCUUCUUUGCACCCACUGCCUAGGUCAUAUAAUUAUUUCCCGUAAUAUCCAGGGCAUUAAUUUCGAGCUUUGUCAAAUUCGACUUGAUAACUGUAUUCAUAAAAUAAUAUAUAAAUAUAGUAAAGACGGGAAUUUAAAUGCAUAAUUUAAAUGCAGAAAUUAAAGGCAUAAAAUAAAAGCAUAAACUUAAAUUGCAUAAAUUUAAAUUGCAUAAAUUUAAAUAGCAUAAAUAAAAUCGAGAGGCUUAGCCUACCACAUGAUCCGAGGAGUCAUAGACUACCAUAUUGAUCAUUAUUUUUCAAAGUCCGAGGAGACAUGGUCUACCAUUUUGACUUUUACUUAUUUCAAGGUCCGAAGAGACUUAGUCUACCACUUUUGACCUUUUCUUUUUAUUCACGGUAGCAAAGCCUACCACGUGUUUCUCUGAUCGUGAAGGCAUAGCCUACCAUAACGAUCAGUCGGGGACGGCAGCGUUUAUCAUUCCAAAAAAUAAACGGAAAAGGCCUAACCUCUCUCUCCGAAAAAAUAAUAAAAUUUAAAUAAUUAAGUAUAUUGGAAUACAUAAAUUUAAACAUUAUCUCGGCUGGUUUAAGAACUUUCGGAUUGAUAAGCUGUUAGAACUUCCAGAUUGAUAGACUUCACCUGUAUAUGAAAGUUCGUGCUAAUAAUGUGUCGUAUAAUAAAUGUAAAGUAUUUAUAUAUCUGAAUUUAAUUAUAUUAUUCUUUUAUGUGUUUGGUAUAUUACGAAGAAGAAGGAGAACGAUAGUGGGAGAGAGAGAGAUGAAAGUGAUGUUUUUGUUUCUUAAUAUGAGAGAGAGAUAAGCAAAGUUGUUCAUAUAUAUAAUUCCAAGUGAACAUGAAACCCUUUAUAUAGAUGGGAGAAGUGGGUUAAACACAUAAAAAAGACAAAACCGUUGGACUAACACGUGCUGUGGUGAUCGUGCAAAGCUGACCAAGGGGGAAAAACAAGUGUCCAAGCUGGAUAUUCAUUCAAUUUUGAUAUUUAUCUUCUAACAUAUUCAACAAAUAUCGUAUAAAACACAUAAAGGAGCAUAAUAAUUAUCUUAUGAACCGUCAAAGGAGUGGUACUAGUUACUUAGGUUACUUGCUUUAAUUAAGCUUAUCUUAUAACUCAUGGUUUGUAUUCCACCUCGAGAGUGAUUAUUAUUCCCUCUCGUUCGAUUAGCCGCUUCUUUGAAUCCCAAUUUUCUUUAUAAUUCGAAAAUAAAUUGUUGUAAAUUUGUUUUGGUUAUUAUUCUUUAUACAAUAAAGGAAAUGGAAACACAAAUCAGGAGUCGUUAAUGAUGAACUCAAGUUAUGGUUCAAAUUUGAAUGGCAACAAAAAUCUGAUUGUCCAUUUCAAACAUAUAAAAACAUCGAAACUCCAUUCUUUUAGCCAAUACCUAUUUCAUCACAAAUUUCAACUUUUAUUUGUUCAGUUUAAUAUUAACCGAUAAUACUCUUAACUAGUUUAAUAUGUGACAAAUUUUCUAGCUGAGUUUAUUAUUUAUUUUUAAUAAAUCACUAGUAAACCCCACUAACUCAACUGUAACUUUUUGGUAGUAUUCAUAAUAAUGUAUAAACUAUUAUUAUUAAGUAUGAUUUUUAUCUUUCAGUUAACGCAAAAAUAACGUUAUAUACACUUAAUUUUUGGUAAAUUUCUUGAUACCAUUUGGAAAAUUCAAGAAAAAUUUCUCAUGUUUUGUUCAAGAAUAUAGCUAGGUAUGGUUUUUUUAAUAAAAUUUUUAAUUUAUUGAUCAUAAAAAAAAUAAUAUUUAUGUACAUCUAAAAGAAUAGAAGAAAGACAGAUUGAACUCUUGACACUACCCCAUGUGAGCACUAAACCAAAGCUGAAGUAGACCUGCAUGCUAGUUUCAGCUUCUCAUAAUAUCUUGUAGACAAUAUCCUUUGCCUGAUUUUUUUGUCAAUAAGUCUCGAAAGAUGCUUCACUAGGCGAGCUACCUGAGUAUGCCGACGCUCAUUCCUUUCCCUCCAAAUAUAAUAGAUCGCCACCUGAAAAGAUAACCUUAACAGAAUCGAUCUCAGCCUGUCAUGAGAAGUUGCAGCAACCCGAACCACAUUUUUCCCCAAUCCAGAGAGGGAUGAGGCCGCAGUAGAUUUCCUAUCACUUGUACCAAAGAGUGUACGUGUAAGGGCAAUCAAAAAACAGAUGGUCUCUUGUUUCCUCUCUUUCUCCACAGGCCGCAGUAAAUUUUAUGGUUUUUUUAAUAAAAUUUUUAAUUUAUUGAUCAUAAAAAAAAUAAUAUCCCCCCCCAUGCUCGCAUUCUGACGCCGGUAGAGAAUCUGUCCUUGACGGCAAGCCAAGUGAUGAAAGCAUAUGUAGUUUAACCUUUCUCUUUUUGAUAAAUUUAUAAAAUUUUUUAUGAUUCUCUUACUUUCGUUAUGUUUGAGUAGACCAAUUGUUAGACUGGGUAUUUUAGUUAGUAUAUAGUAUGUUGAUAUCGAUUUUAAUAUGGUUUCAUUUCUAAGUUCUUAACCUUUAUUUAUGUUCAGUGCAUAAUUCUUAGAGUAGUUAACUAGUUAUCUGAUCUAUAGUGAAUUGUGAACCGACGAAGUGAUGAAUCCUUUUCAUCAACUACUACUUGGUGAGUAAAGGAAAAAAUAAUUUGCAGAAUACAGUGAUUAAUCUUAAAUUUCUCGGUUUAAUGCUAAUCUUAAAAUUAAAAUAACUAACAAAAGUUGAGUCUAUCAGGUUUUUAGAUUUAUAACUUAUUCGAUGAAUAUACCUUAGUGUUUUAAGUUUAAAAACUCAUUCAGUGAACCCUAUUUGCUGAGUUUGCAUUCUUAUGUAUAUUUGCAAAUUUUCCAAAAUGGCUUAACUUCAUUGGUUUAUUGCUUUGAAACCAAUUUUUACUCUUUUGUUUACUUUUCUGCAUCAAAAACUCAAAAUCCUUUUGUUUUCUCUUAACUUUAUUCAAAUUUUAUAGAUUUGAGCUUUGCAUACCGCAAUACUCAGUAAAUUAUAUAAAUAAUGUUAAGGGAUUCCUCUAAACUAACUACCAAUUAAAAUUAAAAUUUUCCUAAUUAAGAGAUCCAACAAUAUAUAAUUCUUUUAGUUAAAAAUACACAUUUUCUUUGUAUUACUUUUUUUUUCUUACUUUUUAAAAGAAUUUGGGACCUAAUUCCUUAAUUUUCCAUCACAUAAUGAACAAUAUUUGUAGAAAUAUUUUUAGUCUUAUAUAUAAACCAUGAAAUCUGGUUUUCGAAUCACAUAGAAUAUAAUUUAUCAUCAAUUGUGAAGAUUAAAAGAAAAAACUUACAUGAAUCUUCAUGUUAGUACAAGCAAAACCAUCAAAUGUGGAUUUUCAUAAAAUGGCUCAGUAUGAUAUAAGUAUGUCUCAGUGCAGUGCAAAGAGAACCCUAAGAUAUGAAUCAUUUUAUGUGGAAUUGUCGGUUGUAGAUUUAACUUUUAAUAUUUUUCGUAAUUUGUAUAAAUCAGUGUUAAUAAACAUACAAAUCUUUUUGCGUCAUAUUUUUCUCCAGCCACCGUUAGUUAUAUUGCUAAUAGUGUACCUAAAAGGAUCGAGAAGAAAUGUAUUAGUUAUACGACUAAGGUACCAAAUUUGGUUAUAAUACUUUUUGACAAAGAAAUUUGUUAUAAUAAUUAUAUUAAUUAAUUGAAUGCACAAAAAAAAAAGAAGCGCUGGAAAAGAGCACAAAUGAUCACAUCAUACGUGGAACCACACAAUCUAAGCAAUUAUAUAAGUAUUUGUUUAUGUGCCCAAAGUAUUCGUCUUACAUUUAUAAUGGCAGAAUAAUUAUGAGCAUAAUUAUUUUUUCAACAUCAUCAAUAUUAUCUAUACAAACAACUUGUCCACAUAUUUGGCCAAAAAAUGAUUUGUCCACAAUUAUAAAUAUUAUCUAUACACUAUAUAUUUUCACCAUCAUUUAUUAUCUAUACAAAAGAUCCAGUGUAUUGGCUUUUACAUCACGUUUUUUUUUAAUUAAGUUUUAAGCUUACUUGAGGUAUGAUCUAAUAAGGCUUAAUCUCAGCAUUACACCUGAUGUUUAAGCUUUGUAUCACCCCUCUUCGUAAAUAGUUUAUAUUAAUAUAUUUUGAACUAUUUUUUUAUCUCGUUAUGAAAAGAAACUUAGUGGAAAUAACACUACAAGAAAUAUGUACAUUGUUAGCACGAGAAAUAUGUUAUAUUAGAUGUUUGAUAGCGAAUUCAUAUAUGCUAUAUAUACGUCAGCCAUCAUAGGUACCCCUUCUACGAUAGCGUUUUUUGAACGCUAUGAAAUAUGCACAUAUGAUAGCAAUACUUGGGUGAUAUUAUUAACUUUACUGUUAGCACUAUUUUCGUGCUAUUAUAGGUCAUUUGAUAAACUAAAAAUAAAUUAUAAUUAAAAAUAAAAUAAUUGAAAAUUAAACCAAAAUUGUUUUAUAAUUAAAAAUAAAAUAAAUUUUAUUUAUCAAAUAAAUUUUAUUUAUAAAUUUUAUUUAGUUUACAAUAAAUUUUGGUUUACAAAACUAAAC